RNAcentral lists this long non-coding RNA (51348 nucleotides) under Triticum aestivum (bread wheat). RNAcentral describes it as "long non-coding RNA (TAES_LNC021682)". Lineage: Eukaryota; Viridiplantae; Streptophyta; Magnoliopsida; Poales; Poaceae. The record is from RNAcentral.
CCCUCUCCUCUUCCCCUUCCUCGCAGCGGUUUGCGAUUUGCCCCUUCUCGCUCCAUCUCUCUUUCUCAUCCCGUGCUUCCACCCAUAUGCGCAGCCAACGGGAUUUAGCGCUAUGAGACGACUGCUCGGCGAAGUUCAUUCCCAGGUUGCCGGCGUGUUCAAUCGGGUGACUAACCCUCCUCGGCUCCUCCUCCUCAACGAUUCACGGCAAGAACCGGGACAGCGCCGUGCCCUUCCCCGUCUCCAACACUACAGUGCUCGCGCCGUCGGUGCUGUCGUAUUUCAUUAUCAUUCGAAUAUGUGUGGAUUUGACCCCUUCGUUGCCUUCCCAUCAUGUUGUGUUCAUUCUUUUCUGAAUCUGAUUCUCAUGCCUGGUGCGAAUCUUCUAUAAAUCGUUGUCAGGAUUUGUUCCUUCGAUCCCGGUUAUAAUUCGUUGAAUCGCCCUCGCGGAUCCCGUUUGCGUGCGUGCGUGAUGGUUGGGGCGUGACCACGGGUUGAAUACUAAAAAACGUAGGGUGUUUCUUGCAUAAACGAACGUUUUCUUGGAUAAGUCACUUAGAAUAGGACUGCGGGUUGAAUACCUAAAUCAGCAGGGGCUUUUUCACAAAAACACCAACGACGGACGACCGAAACCCAAUUUUUUUUUAAUUAUUAUUAGGUAAAGAUAACUGACCUUGGCUUUUUUGGGGGGAGUAUAUUUUUCGUCCUUGAACUUUGUCGAAAGUAUAUAAAUGAUCCCUCAACUUCAAAACCGGCAAACCUUAGUCCCUCAACUUUUCAGACCAUAUUACUUCAGUCCCUUGUCUCGCUUUGGGUGGUUUUAGUCUGACGUGGACACAGUUUUGACCAAAACUUGUGACGUCGCCUGGGUUUGACCGCCAUGUCAUAGUCCACAUCGUUUUUUCUUCAAAACUUUUUUUCUUCAAAACUGGCCCCAAAUCCAACCCAGGGUUGGCGAGCUCGGAUGAGAACGGCGACGGCGUUGUCUAUGACGGUCAUGCAGCGGAGGUGGAGCGCUCGAGCAGCGCGAUGAGCACAGCGACCCAGGGAGUGGCGUCGAGCUGCACAUGAAUAGCUGUGCUAGCUCUUCCGUCCAUGCUUCGCACAUGAAUAAAUCAUGCCUGAAUAGCGAUCGAGUAAUGCAUGCAUGUACUGUAUGUAUGUCUGCACUGCGUGCAGCACUGCGGCUAAAUGGGUUCUCGUGCAAGAGGACCGGACGCCUUCUUCUCCUUCGCGCUGGCACUCCCGGUAAACACGGCAACCCGGACGGCUCCGCGAUGCCGGCCACGAACGUGGAGAAGCUCCCGGGGCUCAACAUGCUGGGAGUCUCCAUGUCCCGCUUGGACUACGCACCGUGGGGCGUGAACCCGCCACACACACACCCGUCGAGCUGCAGCCUGCGCCGGCGCGCCGCCGACCUUCUGAACGGGGGCCCGAGCAGGAGGAGCCGGCGAGUAGCUCGGACAAGCGCUCUGCAUGCACCUCCGUUGACGGGCGGCGUUGGUCGUGCCGUUGGUCAUGCACAAGCUCCGCCGAGGCCACAUUCUGACACGGUCGGCGUUCUCUUUCACACGAGCGUCCGUGCGUGUUGGGUUGAUGACGUCGCGCUUGAACCGGUCGACGGCGUCGUGGUCGAACCGACUCCGAGCUCGCGCCAUGGACACACGGACGCAUGGCAGAGCAACCGCCACCGGUGUGUGUGUUGUUGGUGUGGUUAAUGGUUAUGCGCGAGUGUGUGCGUGCGUCACCGGCGACAGCGAGCCUCGCCGCGGUCAUAAUAACUCCAUGCCUAUCUCCUUAUGUUUCUGGACGCGCGCCAACUGCUGGACGAAAUGCCUAGCAGAGUUAAAUUGGAAAGUGUUGAGUAACGUGAUUGUAUUAGGAAACAUAGGUUAGACUAGAAAAUAUUCUGGCUUGCCUUGUACUUCAAAUAGAUCAUGUACUCCUAUAUAUAUGCCCAUGAGGCUCAAGCAAUACAACGAACUAUUCCACCAAUCCUCCUCUCUCCCCUUCAACAUGGUAUCUAUCGCAAGUCGAUCCUAAACCCUAGCCGCCGUCGCUUCCGCACCUGCGCGCCGCCCCCGGGGCGGUCGGCCUCCAUGACCGCCGCCGGGGGCCGCGCUGCCCGUACCUAGGGUUCGUCCGCCGGCCGUGUUGGCCGGCUGCCCUAAAGAGUCUUUUUCUCGAUCCUUUGAUCCGAGUUUUUUUUCUCUCUCGCCAGUCGUUUUGAUCGGCGUUUACUUUUUGGUUUUCCGAUCUAAGAUCGGUUUGCGUCGCCCACCGCCGUCGUCGACCCCGUGCGCCUCUACUCCAACACCGGCGUGAUUGACCAGCUUCUUCAUCGACUCGGCGGCCUCGCGCGUCGUCUGCGCGUCUGCCCGUCGGUCGCCCCGACGCGGCGGCCUCGCGCGUCGUCCAUGCAUCGGCCCGCCGGUCGCCCCGACCCGGCGGCCUCGUGUCAUNNNNNNNNNNNNNNNNNNNNNNNNNNNNNNNNNNNNNNNNNNNNNNNNNNNNNNNNNNNNNNNNNNNNNNNNNNNNNNNNNNNNNNNNNNNNNNNNNNNNNNNNNNNNNNNNNNNNNNNNNNNNNNNNNNNNNNNNNNNNNNNNNNNNNNNNNNNNNNNNNNNNNNNNNNNNNNNNNNNNNNNNNNNNNNNNNNNNNNNNNNNNNNNNNNNNNNNNNNNNNNNNNNNNNNNNNNNNNNNNNNNNNNNNNNNNNNNNNNNNNNNNNNNNNNNNNNNNNNNNNNNNNNNNNNNNNNNNNNNNNNNNNNNNNNNNNNNNNNNNCGCGACGGUCCGCCCGUCGAUCUACGCCGGCCGUCACCGCCCUGCUCCGACCGGGACUCCUGCAUCACCCCGACCCGGCGGCCUCGCGCCAUGCGGCGGCCAAUCAUAGCCGCCCUGUCGCCUGCCGCCGCCGGCUUCAUCUCGGACUCCGCCGCCACCACGCCUCCAUCGAGCGGCGUCCCGACCUCGCGCGCGAUCGGCUUGAUCACCCGCUCGCCGCCGCGAUCCGCCUCAUCUACGCCGCGCGACCGACUUGGCCCGUCAGUAACGCGCGCCUCCGCAGGUCCCGUGAAGAUCGUCUCUGAGUUCAGCGCGGCCCUCCGCCGAUCGAGCAACGGGCUGCCGCUGCGUCGCCCCGUCGGGCCGCAGCGCCGCCGCCCCGUGGUUCUUCUCCUGGCUGCACCGACCCGCGUCACCGCUGCGUCGCCCCUUCGGGCCGUAGUGCCGCGGCCCGCGGUCCACCGCCGCCCCGAGGCCGUCCGCUCCUGGUCGUCCCCGUGGCCGCACCGACCCUCGCGCCGCCGCUACAUCGCCCCAUCGGGCCGUAGCGAGCGUGGCACGUGGUCCACGCAGCCGCCCCGAGGUCGUUCCCGCGGUUGCACCGACCCGCACUCCUCCGCCGCGCCGCCCUUUCGGGAUGUCGCGCCGCGGCCCGCGGUCUCCGCCGCCGCCCCGAGGUCUUACCGCCGUCGCCCCGACCUGCCCGCCGCCGCUGCGUCGCCCCUUCGGGCCGUAGCGCCGCGGCCCGCGGUCCACUCUGCCGUCACCGCGCGUCGACCUCCCGUGGUAUGCGCUGCGCCGUCUCCCUUGGCGCAGGAACGCCACCGUCCGCGCCGGUCUUCGUCACGCUGUCGGGUUCUUCGCCUACUUCGAGCACCGCCGCCGCGCUCCUAACCUAGCCGCCGCUGCCGCCGUCAGGCCGCCGCUGUCGCUCUUCUUUUGUAGCCGCCGCCGCUACCCCUGUAGCCGCCGCAGCCGCCCGUCCACCCCCUUCGUCUUCGUCCAGCACCAGCCUGUCGCCAGCGUCGCCGUCAUCUACACCAACCACUUCAUCUACUCCGACAACCGCGGGCGACAUCGGCCCCGCGCUGAUUGGCGCCCCAACCGUCGUUGUGUCCUUCUCUGCUGGCCUCUACGACUUCUCCGACAUGGCGUACAGCUCGUGCAGGUCCUUGUCUACGCAUGCCCGGUGCUGGCAACACCGAUGCAUGCCUUCGUCCAUGACGUGUCCCCGGGCCUGGCAAGCCUAGUGCGGCGCUUCAUCAACUUCGUCUUCGUCCGUCUACGCAUGCCCGGUUCUGGCAACACCGACGCCUGCCUUCGUCUACGAUGUGUCCCCGGGGUUGGCAACCCCGGCGCGACGCGUCGUCAACAUCAUCCACUUCCUGGCGCACCACUACUUCGACACCACUGCGCCCACGACUAACUCGGCGCCUCCUUGCGCCCACGGCUCCACGGCGACUUCCUCGACACCGGCUACCCCGACUCGACAUCGACCACGGCAUUCUUCUCACGGCUACCUCGACCUCGGCUCCACCACCCACGCUCUCGGCUACAUCGACAAACGACACAAAGGGCUACCGCCUGCUUGAGCAACCUCGUUGGUUUCCACUCCAGCCACGACUCCGCGAUGCAUCGACCGUUACGACUGUGGGGGGUGUCCGUCGGCUUGCCUUCGGAUUCUUCUCCAGUCUCACCGUCUGCAUCGCUACCGUUGUGACUGCGGGGGGAUGUUGAGUAACGUGAUUGUAUUAGGAAACAUAGGUUAGACUAGGAAAUAUUCUGGCUUGCCUUGUACUCCAAAUAGAUCAUGUACUCCUAUAUAUAUGCCCAUGAGGCUCAAGCAAUACAACGAACUAUUCCACCAAUCCUCCUCUCUCCCCUUCAACAGAAAGGAAGAAGAAGAUUGCCAUGUGGGCGUCGACCUGUCAAAACAAUGCCAAGUCAGCAUGAAAACUGCUUUUGUUGAGUCAAAGGACUAAACUAAUCUGGUUCAAAAAGUUUAGGGACCAAGUUAUGCCGGCUUUGGAGUCGAGGUACCAUUUCUAUACUUUCAAGAGAGUUUAGGGACGAAAAAUAUACUUUUCCCUUUUUUUAGGGUUAACUGACUUUGGCUUUCUGAUGACGACGCGGUUAGCAGUGUGAUUUGGUAUCGCGUUACGCGGUUCGGACGCCCAGGUCUCCUUAAUAGCUUGGUCAUGACAGCAAUCUUUCACAUAAAGACAACUGAUCAUCCCCUCAAACAAAAAAAAGAACAGCUGAUCAUCAUCAAAGAAAUAAAUAAAGACAACGUUGCGUGUUUUCACACUUCUGUAUGGCCGAGUCAAGUCAAACGUCGCGUGUUUCCUUAUGUUUCGUCCUGUCACCCGCAAUGCGCACCUGCUCUAAUUUGCUUAUAAUGUUUCCUCCUGUCAGCAGCAAGGCGCACCUACUCUAAUUUGCCUCGUCACAGUUCUGCUUCCUCGGCUGGUGGCUUCUUCUCACCAGCGAAGAGCAAAGGACGCCAUUGACUUCCUUCAAGCUUUCUCUCGAGGUUAGUGUUCUCUACCCAAUUUUGCUUAAUUGCUUGCUCUUUGUACCUGGCGAACCAUCACGAAAUGGUCCAGAUUUCCAGUGGUCGAUACACAUGUCGUUGGCGCGAUUUCCUCUUUGAAAAGAGAAAGUUUCAUAACUUCUUAUGAGAUCGAUCAACCAUGCACUAUGAUGUGUGAAUCAUGAUAGACAUAUGCACUCCUCGUCUUUGAAUGGAGGAUAUGUUCUGCGUCGGGAAGAAGAAGAAGAAGAACGCCCAGGCUAAUAUCCUCCUUUUCCCUCUCUGUAGCUCUCAAUUCUUGAAGCAGGAUCGCGGAUACGUCAGGCAAUUGAGUUUUGUUUAGUUGUUGCUGCUGCUGUGAGUCGAUUAUCUCCUGCUUCUUCUUCAUCCUUUCAUCUUCCUCCCUCAGCCUCUGCUCCAGCUUCCUCCAGCCACCGUGUUUUAAUGUUUUUCUUUACUUUUUGGUUUUCUCUUUUCAUUUUUCUACUUUCCUUUUUUUCAGCUUCGUGUUUUGUUCCUUUUUCGUCUGUGUCAAAUAAUUGCAUUUUCCCUUGUAGGAGUAUAUUUUUCUCUUUUUCCCACUUCUAUAUGAAAAUUUUCUUGAAGGAAACACAUACUAUGUUUUAUAAAGUAGUACUAGCUACAUGGAUAUUUAUUUUUGAAUAUGUGAUUUUUUUUAUGCUCGGCAGUUUUUGUAUGUUUUUUCCUCAUGGGGAAGUUUGUAUGUGAACAUGUCUUUUCAAAAUACAUGAACAUUACUUUUAUGCUUUUCAUUAUACAAAGUAAACAAUUUACAAGUGCUAUUUCCUUUCACACUCUUACAUUCCCUUCUCUACUAUCUGUUUCUGUUCUGUCACAAUCGAAGAUGAAGAAGUAUCCAGCUUAUAGAUUGACGAGUGCAAAUUUAUAGUCAGGCAUGUGAGGACUGAGGACGAGGCUAAUAGGCAGGAAUGGGUGCAGAAAUGUGAGGACUUUGUAAGUCUGUAUGUACGUCUUCAUUUAUUGUUANNNNNNNNNNNNNNNNNNNNNNNNNNNNNNNNNNNNNNNNNNNNNNNNNNNNNNNNNNNNNNNNNNNNNNNNNNNNNNNNNNNNNNNNNNNNNNNNNNNNNNNNNNNNNNNNNNNNNNNNNNNNNNNNNNNNNNNNNNNNNNNNNNNNNNNNNNNNNNNNNNNNNNNNNNNNNNNNNNNNNNNNNNNNNNNNNNNNNNNNNNNNNNNNNNNNNNNNNNNNNNNNNNNNNNNNNNNNNNNNNNNNNNNNNNNNNNNUGUUCUAAGUCAAUCUUAAUAAAAUUUGACCAAAAUUGUAAAGAAAAACAUCCAUAUGCCCAAUAUGUACAUAUAUAGAAGCAUAUAUAAUCCAUGUUCCUAGUUUAUAAAGAAUUCCCCCGCAAAAAAUGGUUUAUAGAGAAUAAUACCAAGUUUAUGCAGGAGUAUCUUCCUAUCCUAUAAUAGCUUAAUUAAUGUUUCACUAUCUCAUGCAGGUAACGGUAAACUUAAAAGACAGAGGUUGCAUGCAAUGUGCAUGUAUGCAUCACACGAGAUGGACAUCGUACGAGUGCCUACAUGUGUUGAGAUUGCAUUCAGAAGUGUGGACGUUAACCACAGAAAUAUGGCCUGAGGAACUAGAAGCUAUAUAAGAAAGGUACGUACGUAUUAUCCAUAUUGUAAGAAUUCAAAUCGAAUGAUAUAGUAGAUGUAAAAGCAUGUCUAACUGACAAUUAUUUACUCGGCUUAUACUAAUUUGCUGUACUAUUUGGUGUCUACUUCGUAGAAUGCUGAUAUGAAUUCAUGAUAAAUAGUGGUAGUACUGCACCUUGGCAGUAUAUGCCAAUCUCUUUCGGUCCCUUUAGACAUGUAAAAACUUAAAAACAUAUACACUCGAAAUAGGCUUUCACCUUGCUUUUUAAACAAAGCAACCACAACAACCAAACAACAACUACAAGUGCAAAAAAGAAAACAUAGGAACAUAGCCAUCUGUAAAAAAAGGCGAUACAAAACUCUUUGGAAGCAACAGAUCAAUGGUGAGGAGGCAAAGUGAGUUGUCCGCCUGACUUUAUAUGAUCAUCAACCAUACUGCCAGAAAUUUAACCACAAAGUCAAAAGCACGCUGCAAAAAGAUCUACUCGAUGGCAAUCUUGUUUUGUGUAGUCUAUAUGGUCAAGGUCAUGGCCGACAACACUAACUAGAAGAGGUGCAUCCUCCUACCAGUACGGUUGGCGUGAGCCUCCAGAAUUCACCCAUAUCUGGGGACUGCCACUCAGGUCCCAGAGCCUCAUGGACCCCUCAGAGAGAGAUAGGCCAUCGCCAGAGCCUUUCUGAUUUGUCACCUCCCCCGAGGAGAGGCGAUCUCGUAAGAGCUGCCACAUGAAAAUCCUUCUGUUAAGUGGAAAUAGUGUUUUCCAGAUGGGAAUGAUCCACACAAGAGUAGGUGUCGAGCGAACCGAGAAUAGCCCGUCGGGGACGAGGUGCCAGGAAGGACAAUCUCCAGUUUUGACAAGCAAAUGGUUGUGCAUCAGCAAUAUGUAUAAGUCAACAUGACCGCUGACCAUCACAAACACAUUGAGGAACAUCAAUUGUCAUAUACAUACAUCAGAAUGAAUUAGACACAGCAAAUAAGAUAACAUAUGCAUGACAUUUGACUGAAAGGGGCAAUUCAGACACUACGAAACUGACAUAACAUCGGAGUUACAGAAAUAGUCCACAUGUUUGUCCUUUUAGUCCCCAGAUGAAUAGAUUUCAAAUUUGUUUUGGUAACUCAAAACUGUGUUUUUUGUUUUGUCAUUUUUUGACAAAUCUGACUCUUACGGGAGCAAUGGAUCGAUCCAUUGUUCAUCCAAAAGCAUUCAUACUUGGUUCAAAUUGAAGUCUCAAUUUGGCUUGGUGUCAAAAACACUCGUCUCUAGACUGGAGGCAAGGAAAAUUCUACUUCCUGCUUGCGGUUGUGGUCCACUGCAUCUAUUUGGACGGAGUGGAUGCGGGUCUUGCGGUAUAGCAGCCAGGAGUAUACACCUAUUUGCACAGUUGUGGACACAAUGCCCAUUACAUUCGGUACCUGCACGCACAUAAUGAUAGCAAUGAGCAAGUGUAGCAUGCAUACAAUGGAGAUAUUAUUACCACAUUGAGUAAAUCAGAACAGAAGUCCGUUCGCAUAGGGAUCUUCGGUACGAUGAACUAUAUUAAUGGCACUGGGGAUAGAUAUUAGGUACCACAACGUAGGGGUUGACCGGGACGGUCAUGAAGCCGUAGGGGGCCCAAGUACAUGCACUUAAGAGGGAGAUGGCGGCCAUGAUUAGUGGGGUCUUGUCGUUGAUCUGCUUGAUCUUCAUGAUCACCAACAUCUGGUGUACAAAUACGAUCGGUUUCAAUCCACCAAUGAGAAAACGGACAAUAGAUUGAUAAAUCAUGCUAGGAAGUGCACUUCACAGGCCGUAGCUUGCACUUACCAGAUCAUAUGCUGGAACAAUUUGUGUAGAUGCUCCAAAUAUCGAAGCUAUGACAUCGACAAAAAUACUACUCCACCUAUGAGUGAUGAGCACCAUCGAGGCUACUAGUACUGCCGUUAUUAAGGCGAAGACCAAGAAUGCAGAAAGAAUGAAUAUGGCAUGCCGACGCUUGGUCCGUUCCGCAAACGUGAUGUAGAAGGUGGUGUAGGAAAAAUGAACGAGGAUUCCCAUUCCGCUGACGAUGAAGAGCAAGAGCUUGUUGGGGAGAUCCGUCGAGGCAUACAGUGUCCACAUCACACUGUUGAAGAAUGCCAAGACAUGUCCAUAUACCUUCCGAUCUCCUACAGACCCUUCCUCCCAAACAGGUAUCACCAUAGUGCACCUGCGCGAACAAGACAAAUGGAUGGCCACUUAGGUAGAAAAACACGAGUGACAGUGUUUUGUUGAAUUUUAUUAUAGCCGGAUGAUGAACUUUAGAAUAAUCAAAAAUAGCUAGGCUACAUGCAUUACUGAGGCUGAGGGCGUUCUACACUUUUCAGAAAAUGGUAAAAACCCACGAGGACAAACUUUUCACAAGUAUAUGGGGUCCAACACGUACCCAAAGGUCAGUGUGUAUUAGUACGGGUUUCUUGCACAUAGGAGUGCUGCGUUUUACUCCCUCACAUAGGGCAUCUCCAAUAGUAUCACUUUCUGGAUUAUUGGAGUUGUUACUUUGGAGUUCCCUAAUAUCCCGUAAGUCAGUUGUUCUUCUCUCUGUCUUUCUUUCACUAGUAGCGACUUCUGCUGGAACAACUAGUGUUGAACUUCGGGGCUAGGAAGGCGGCAGGCGAUGGCGGGUGGGAUGCGCUGGGAGGUGAACUCGGUUCGGGAUGCAUGUGAGCAAUGAACUCCAUCUGCAUGAUCAGGUGAGUACGGCCGUAAUAAGGCCCCACGUGCUCCGAAGAGGCGUGACCACGGAGUUCCACGACGAAUAUGUAGGCGAGUCUGACAGCGGAGCAACAUAGGGUAGUGGUGAGACUAGAAUGGCUAAAAAUGGGGCGGACAGGGUGGACGAAGCGGUACAAGCGGUGAGCUUCAACUACCAUGACUCCACGAGGCACUAGGACGCGUGGGAGUGGGGGUGGUAGGGGCGGUGGAAGUUCUUGCGGCACAAAAACAAUUGUUAGGGGAGUUGUAUUUCACCCUCUACAUGGGAGAGUUGGGUGGAGCCACCAAACACGCGAAGGCCAUGACUAGGGUCUAUAGAAGAACCUAGUCACACCGCCGCUAGAGGGGAAGCCGGCAAAGCCCGUGUGUGCCCUAGGGAAGGUUGCGGCAAUGCAUUUCAUGGUGCACGUGCGGUGGUGGGCCUUGGCUAACGGCUAAGCGCACUGCCGGCUUGGUGGCCCCAGUUCUUUCCUUCACUAUCGGUGGGGAUUGUGGAGGGUGAACAACACUAUGGAUGGAGCAGGAAUCACCAGUGGAUAGGUUUGAGUACGGGGAUGAUGCAUGGCUUCUAGCAGCAAGCGGAGGCACCGCCGUCAUGGGUCAGUAGUGUAGGUUCCUGAUGGAGGUGCUCAAUGUGGCGGUGGUUGGCUGGUUCGUGGACCUGACUGACGGAGGUCUUGAUGUGGUCGGUGCCAUCCUGUGGGUGGCGGCAUAGGACGCCCACUCGAGCUAUAGAUUGUAGUGGCCACCAAAAAUUCUUCAUGUGGUUUCUCUUCCCAGACCUAGUGGCUACCGUCGGUGACUCAUACUAGCGACUUUGCGAGAUGCAACCGAAGUGCUCCAUUUUUAUACUAUUGUGAGUUUUGGACAUAUUUUUGAACUCGUGCUCAUACUUGUUAUAGUACAUGUAAAUAUUUUUAUACCAUCAUGGGUUUUGGAGGCUCUCACUCUGGCUAGUUUGCGUUCGGAGAUGUGAUGCAAUCUAUCGACAACGGCAUGACAUUGAGGCUGUUGUGUAGCGGCGGCAGUCGGACUUCUUGCCCAACGCAUGUACAUGCUGGGAUCGAGGAAAAGUGGUAGCAACAACACAUGAUUGACAUUGAUUUGGUGGUGCUUCUCGAGUACCCGGUCUCGAGCUCCGGGGUGGAAAUCCUAGGUAUAACCCAAGUUGGUUAUACCUGUCAAUGGCGAUGUUUUUGUGUCUUUACCUUGUUGGAGGCAUUGCUCGGAUAUGGCAGACUUGUUCUUGACGGUGAAAACAUAGAAUCUGGCCUUUGAUGGUUGGAUCCGGUGUAGGUGACGCUCGAGCAUCGUUCCCUUCAUGUAGACAUUGCUAUUGAAGAACGUCAUUUUCCUUGUGGGUUCAACAGAUGGUUGGUGCAGCUAUGUUCAUUCUUGUAGUUUUUUUAUCAUUGUUUUGAAGUUUUUUCUCUUUUUCCUUGCUUAGGUAUAGCUUUGAUAUUGUAUGACUUUCCUAUUUAUCGGCAUGCUUAUUUGUGUGUGUGCAAUGGUGUUGGCUAUGUGCACACUAGCUAUGCAAAGGUCAGGCGUGUGCUCAUUGUGUUUACAUCAAUUGGAUGCUUCAUUUUUAGUGACUAAAAUUCACCCUUUUGUUGAAAACAUGGUGGAGUUGUGGAAAAAUGUUGGUGUUCACAAAAAACUAUGUCGAUUGAGGAUCCCAUUGCGGGGAUGCUAGAGUACCUAAAUCCCCAAUAGUGUCAUUAUUUUUUAGGAUGGGGGCUCUUACCAUGAUGAAUUUCUACAUGCUUAAAGAGGUCGUUGGCACGUAGCUUAAAAAUAAGUAGAUUCAAAUGUGUUAUGUCGAAAAGUUGUUGUGUUGGAGAAGUGGUUGUGAGCAAUGCAGCCGUUUGUUCGCAAACCAGUUGUGUGAGUUCUCAAUUGAGUGAAAAGUAUAAAAUACCUCCGAGACGCCAAGAGGCCGUUUAUGCAUCGAUUUAAUGAUAAUAACUUGAGUUAGCUGUGUUUCACUAAGUUUGAGUUAUUGUAUAUAUGCAUCGCUAUAGUACAAACAUGAUGUUUCAGUUACAUUCUCUCUAUAAUGCACAACCAAUCUUUCGAUCUACUAAAGGUGGUGGAAGACAAAGAAUAUAAGAUGGCGCUUGAAGGGAUAUGAUCUCGACGGGGAUGAAGGUGACUUGAUGGUUAUACCCAGGUUUGAGGCCACCAGAUGGUUUGGAACCCUACACCCCGCCUAUCUAUCUUCAUUGAUCAAUGAGAGAAUUAUAAUGUUGUAGAACUAAUCUUGGGAGCUCGGUUAUGGGCAUGUUGCUUCACACAUAUUAUUGUCUUUGACAUUGGCCCGCUUGUCCCUUAUAUAGGUAGAAAAAUGAAGGUAAUAUUGUAGCAAAUUUGGAAGGUUAUGAUAUGAUUGGGUGAUGCCACAGUUGCAAGUGUAUCUUUCACUACCACUACUACGGAACUGCUUACAUGUGGGGCCUCACUAGUGGUGGGCGGCCAUCUGCACCCGCCAUUGGUAAUUUGGGCACUUAUGAGUGGAGGGCGACAUUUUGUCCCACCACUUGUAUGCAAGUACCAAUGGUAGGCACCAUUUCCCACCCGCCACCGGUAACAUGGGCUCCGGCAAGCGGUGGGCCAAAUACACUAGUGAUAGGUGCAUAAUCGUGAGUGCCACUUGUCAAUCACAUACUAGUGGUAGGCAGGUAGCAAACAUCCGCCACUGGUAAUAUGGGCCCCUAUUUCAUCCACAAUAGUCAUGGUGGUCACGGGUACAUUUUUAGGUAUUUUUUAAUGGUUUAUGGUAUUUUGGGUUUUCAAUGUUUUAUGGUGUUGUAUGAAAAAUGUUUGAACUUUGUUGGUUCCAUUUGCUAUAUUUAGGCAUUAUAUGAAUAUAUUCGUAUUUAAUUUUGAAUAUAAUUCAAAUUUCAACUGAAUUACAUUAAAAAUUAAAACUGGGAAGAAAGGUAAUACUGAAGGUAGUUAGCUUAUGUUCGGUAUUAUGAAUCAAUUCCUUGGAAAUUCCAAACAUGAUGGAAAGUGCAAUCAUUUCUUGCAUUUCAAAAUACAUACUCAAGAACUAAAUAAUUCACUUUAAUUGCUUCCAAGCAUUUUUUGCAUCUGUGACCUGAAUACAUGCUCAGGAACUUGCACCAAUUUUUAGGCAUCGUUUAAUGUACGUGUAGUUCAAAUUAGUAUAACCAUAGCUAGAAAUGCACUAAAUGCCCUGAAAAUAUUCCCUCUAAUCUAGAACAUAAGGUGCAUCAAUUUUUGUUUAAUUCAAAUACAUGUAUGUUUAAAAAAAAUUAAAGAACAAAAUAUAAAUGUCCCAUAUAAUAAAUAAAUAAGUAAAUAUGAUAACACUUUCAUAAUGGACUUUAUAAAUAUUACAAGUGGAUUUUAUAUUAUAAUAACUAAAUAAAUAUGAUAAAAUUUUCAUAUUAUAGGUAUUACUUCGUUUUUUCUAAAAACUUGGCCAAGCAUGCAAAAGUUAGACUUUUGGAAAAACUAACAAACCUUAUAUUUUGGAAUGGAGGGAGCUAGUAUCAAACUAACCUAGAAAUGUGCCAAGUAUUUACAUGUAACUCGCUAUGGUGUAUCUUGAACAUAUAAAAAGUUUCAAUGGCCAGCUCUCCAUCAAACCUAAUACAAUCCCAUUGAAACUAUGAUUUUUCCCAUAGAUUCUCCACUUUCUUAGCGAAGUGCAUCAAAACUUCGCUGUGACUCAAUGUUUUGCCAGACCCUCUAGGUGCCAUAUCUUGACACCAUUCCAAGUUUUAUCUUUUUUGGACUUCAUUUACAUAAAAGAAACAACCAUUACCUCUAUUAACUAGCUUGAAAUUCAUUGAAUGCACUAAAAUAGCAAAUUUACCAAAAAAAGUGCUUAAGUUUUAUAAGGAGCUUCUAAUAUUGUAACUUGCACCCUGAAAAAUUGGACCCCAACUAUAACAAUAAAAGAGUAAACCAUUGGAAAAAGAGAAUCAAACUAAAAACUUUACCAAUCGCGAGCGCCUCGAAACACUCGCCACUCGAAAACUGUAGUAGUGGCGGGCAGGGGGCUACUCCACUAUUGAUUUCUUAGGAAUCCCGAAAGUCGAGGUUUUACCGGUAAGGUUUUUCGUUCUUCUGUUAUCUUGUUUAGUGCAUGUUUACAUCUGCAAUUGCAUGCUUUCCUUAAUAUUGUGUAUAUCAAAUUAUCUACCGGUCUCCUUUCUAGUACUUGCUCUAUCUAUGUAGGUUCUUGUUAUAAUACAUGGACAUAUUUUUAUACUAUUUUUUCUUAUUAUUAGCAUGAUUCACUCCUACGUAAAAAUGGUUAAGGAACCGUCGAUCAUUCAUAUUGGUGACUGGUCCCAUAUGGCCAUGUCCGGACAAUGUAUGAACAAUAUGCUAGAAAUGGGCGUACAUGUUUGAUCUAUGUUGUAUGUUUGUGUAUGGAUUUGAGGGUUUGGAUAUGAGGGGGAUGGCUGCGGAUGCAGAAAAAUGUGAGGCGGGUCGACGCUGUCCGCGGACAUGUCUGGGCGUGUCCACGGACGUAUAGGGCGUCAUAUUAUCUAUGUCUGGUUGGAGAUGCUCUUACGGUUAUAGCACUCGUGUUUCUAAUCAGUUGUAGAAUUUUGAUAGUUCAAUAGAAAGAUUGACAAUGACACCCUUAGGUUAUAGCUUCCAUAUAUUUGACUAAUGUCGAAAAUAUACUUUCAUAAGUAUGAUUUGUGUUGGUGGAUAGUUGAAUAUCAUGGUUGUUCUCGUUCGGAAUUGUGUGAGCCUAAUACUUCAUGGUUCAGGUGAUACUCAAAUUAGUGGGCAAGGUUUGUGAACCGGUUAGUCUGUACCCUCUUUCUGCAUGCUCUGUGAUCAAUUUGUUUUCUCGAUUUCUGGUGAUUCUUCUUUUGUUUUCUCUCUCAACUAGCCCCAUCAAUUCUUCUUUACAAUCAUAUGUACACUGCUUUGCCAGUACUUUUGUUCUUAAACUAAUUAGGGACCCAAUUCCACUACAUAACUUGCGCUAAGAUAUAAUAUAAAUUGCACUACUUCACCUCGUGCAAUUCUAAGAAUAUCAUUGUAUAUUUAGUUUUUCUACCUUAUAUAACACAUUGGUGUUUUCUUAGUUUGACACGACAUACAACUGUCAGGUAACUUCAGUUGGUAUGAAUGUGUCAAAUUUCCAAAUCCUAUAUACUCAAAUACUGUGAACUAUCUUUAUCUUUUUGCAAGUUAUGUGGAGCAUUUUGGUCAGUCUUCUAAAAUGAUCUAUAAAUGGAUAACAGGGGAGAGAUAAAUCAUCAACCUUUAUAUAAACAAGAUGAUGGUACCCAUUGAUCUUCUACAUAGUGCAAAUUAUUGCUAUGAAUAUGAUAUAUGAGCCUACUGUUCAUGUUUAUAUAAUAAAUGGCACAAAAAGUAUUCUAGCUUUUCUCCACAUCAUACCUGCUAACAUGGCAUGGAAUCUAGAAUUGAUAUAUAAACAUGUGCUUAUGUUAUUCAUUUCUUGUGGUUCUUUUGUUCACAAGUGAUUAUACCUUCUCCCAGUUGUACAGUGCAUUAAUACAAAGGACACCAAUUUUUAUGCAAGUUGCUUGGACAGAGGGAAAUCCAAUUACACCAAUACCAAUGAAUAAUUGCAGUUGCUUUUAUCUGAUUCUGCAAUAAUUAUUUGUGCUCUUUACUUUAGUUAUUAUCCAGCUAUUGCCAAAUUCAGUUUUCUAGAAAAGAUAAGAAUGGAGAUACUUUUAGCACAUAACCCACUAAAAAAAUACUACAUAUAUUACAAAUGCAAUUUGACUAUGUGCAAUGUGAAAAUGCACGAGCAAACUUUUUACGUACAUGCAACUAGCAUAUUAAAUAAACCCCGGCACAUGCGCGGCUUGAUUUUUCUACGUCCGUUUGAUAAAUUUAAGUUAGUUAUUAUUCUUUAUGUAUAAAUCGAUGUUGCUACUAGUCUAACCUAGUUAUGACAUCUCCACCCAUUGUGAUUCUCAAUAUGGAAAAAUCAACCAAAUAUGCAAACACAGACUUCUGAUCCCUGUCCACCAAUUCAUUUUGGAGAUAUUUACAUACAUAAUUAAAUCCGAACAAGAUAGCCUAGAUGUAAGUUAAUAGUCAGAUCCUCUACCUGCCUUAAAACAAGUUGUAUUGUAUAUAAUUAGUUAAAAUACUUUAAACAAAAUACAUAUAUUAUACAUCAGGGUUUAAAUUUAUUACAUGCAUACACGUUUUUGGUGUCGCGAGCACUUGUCUCCUGGACCACACAUGCAUCUCGUGACGUUCACCUCAACCAUGAAAGGUACUCCCUCUGUAAUAAAAUAUAAGACAUUUUUGCAUUUCAAUUUGAACUGCAAAAACAUCAUAUAUUUUGGUAUGGAGGGAGUACCUGAUUUUGUUUCUUCCUAGCUAACAACAGACAAGCUUGUAUCAACGGCUACCACUCCCAAUGCAAGGCUCUCUUGGUUCCGUUGAUGGCAAGCUAUGUGGCACCCCUCACCACUCAAGGCAAGUUAUCUUUUUCAUUGGCUAUAUAAUGGAUAUUACGAUGAAUGCAAUAGCAGAAAGUACUCAUACAAUGGGUGAAAUUAAGUCAACUUUUUGUCUGGACACUAGAUAUACUCAUUACAAAAGGUUCAUAUAAUUAACAUACAAUAACACAAGCUGCAUUCUGCUUGUAGGUGCAUAAAUGAACUUUAUUUCAGAGCAACCGGUUAACUUCCUAGAAUGGGGUAUUAUCUAUCCCGAUAAUACGACUUUCAUCGAAUACGGCUUUCUAUAGAAUCCUAUACUGAGCUAAUCUAGAAUACCUUUUAGUAAUAACUAGUCACAAUUAGGUUAAUCCUGUCUAAUACGUACUUGUAGACUACACCGAAUCGGUUAUGUCCUAGGGAGUUUUCUUUCUAUACAAACAUGUACACUGCUAAUGUAUAAUCAUCCCAGAUCAAAGCCAUCAAUUGUGUCUCGGUCUAUUCAUGUGUCCAUGAAAGAAUUGAUUUGUUUCACACGUGUACUUGUGCAGCCAUAAGAAUUGAUCAAGCUGAAAGGUUCCUGCCUCCAAGUAGCUGCGCUGGCGGUUAGAUAGCGGUAGCAUCUUCUCUUCAUCUUGUCUCCAAGUAGCGGCGUCGGCCACGCCACCAACUCCUCCAAGUCAAUGUUGAUGCCAUCCAUACCGUUGGCGCCGGCAAGUCAGCCACCAGGUGAGAGCAAUAUCUCUUCAUCCCUUCUCCAUGUAGCGGUGUCGGCCUCAUUCUAUUUCCUCCCCAGAUCCCCAUCUAUAUCGCCGCCGUGCUGCUCCUUGUCAUCGUCCGUGCCGCUGCUGAUGCCCAUCACCCCAACCUCCUCCUUGUCGUUCCUGUCAUCCAUCAUGGCCUUGUCUCCGUGCUCAUUUUGGGUGUGGUUUUUGUUGUCUGCAACUUCAGAUCGGCUGCAAAGAAUUUGUACUGCAUACUUGAGCUAAUCUGUGACAAGUUUGUGCUUUCAAUCUUUUAUAUAUAGCAAUUUAAGUUAAUUUUUCAGAUUACUGGACUUCCACUUGUGCUUUGGACACUGCUUAAACUUCAUCAGUGCUUGACCUCUGUAGUGAAUCUUUCAUGUUUUUGGUUCCAUUAGUCAAUCAAACACUAUGUAGUUAGUAAAUUGGCAAGCAUCAGUUAGUACAUCAGCAGCAUAUCCUCAAAAGAUUUGGACUGUCAUGUGAUUAGUUCCACAACAGUAUAAGUGUACAAUACACAAAUCUAGCCUCUUUAUUUGACACAGAAAUAUAAGCUAUCCAGCUAGACAUUCAUCAUCAUGUACAGGACAAAUAUUUGCCUAUUUGUCAUGUAAACAACUUUGGUUUGGUGCUUUAUGGAAAUUUGUUUCCUUCUCUGCUUUGGAGCAUCAUGUACAUGGCAAAGUUAUGUAAAUAUCUUUGGAGCAUCAUGUACAACAAGUUUGUUUCCUUAUAUAGUUUGGUGCUUGAUUAACUUAGUAUAUAAAAUAAAUAUAAAAAUGGAGCAUCAUAUGCAGCUUGCUAUGGUUCUUUCUUGCUUUCCUAUGUGCUCCUGCGAGGUAAGCUUGUUGUGGUUCUCAUAUGCUUCGCUGUUUAAUUAGGAGUGUUCUCUUUCCUUACAAAUUAGGAGUGUACAUGCCCUGAGCCUAGCUCUCAUGUGCUUCUUUUUUUAAUUAAGAGUGUUCCCUUUCGUUGAAAAUUGGGACUGUACAUGCAGACUAGCUAUCAUAUUCUUCUCUGUUUAUUUAGGAUCGCAAGGAAUGUAUCUAGCAUUGAAAUACGGCUAGAUACAUCCAUUUGAGGAACUGUUAAUAUGAGUCAAAGGGAGUAUUUGACAUUUCUAUGCAAAACGCCAUUUUCAAAUAUAGCACGCCCUUAACACAUUAUUACCUAUAUAGCAUCUAGAGAAGGGCGACGCUAAAUCUUGUAGCGCACUAUUUUUUCAUUUGCCCGAGCACUUGUUAUCCAAUGGUUGCUAAAAAUAUUCUAAUUUCUUUAGUGAGUAAGUUCUUGUCCUUUUCAUAUAGAUUUGUGUGUUGAAGUUGCAUUUUUUGUCUGUAUAUUUCGUAUGUUCUGUUGCAAGUAUCUCGCCUAAAGAGGUUAACUUUUUAGUCGUUGCAUUAUGUUGCUAUAUUGAAUGUAUUGCACUAUCCACUGGUUAUACUCUUUGCUUGAACUUGUAUUGGAAGCGACACCUUGAAAAACGAGUUGGAAGCUACUGUUGUUGUAGCCUUAUCACUGGCUCGUACAAAAUAAUGAAUGAUUCAACAUGUAAUGAGUUGCUUCUUUUGUAUUUCUGAAAGGUUGAAGCUCUAUAUAUUCAUCAUGUGGUAUUUCAUUAGUCUUGCUUCUGUUGCCUUGUGCUUGAACUGAUAAAAUUUUACUUAUAUUUCUGUAAAGGUUAGGUGGUGCAGGCCAAGGUUCCCAUGUCUGGAGAAAGUACAAGGGGUGUGCAACUUCAUGAUUAAAUGUCAUUCAGUUGAUUAAAAAUUGCAAUCAACAUUGGAACUAUUCGCACCAACACUGGUGCAAUUCUAGUAUUUGUAUGAUGCAAAUUUUCCCUAGGCAUAGUUCAUGUUUGACAUCUAGCACGUGUUGUUGCAUGUUACGCUAAUGUUCUUUUAGUAAGCGAUCCGACUUUAAUUAUCAAUUGAUUAUAAUGAGUCAUAUUAAAAGUACUAAAUAAAAAUAGAUACCAAAGAUCCCUGGUAACUAAAGGUUCUUCAACAAAGUUGUCUCUAGUUUCACUUUUUUGCAUCUUGACUUCCUAACAUGAUUUAGGUAAAAAAAAAGAAACCUUUGAAGACUAAAUCUACACAAUCCAGACUAACCUUGAAGGUUUUGAAAAUCCACUUGAGCUACCCCUCCUAUUAAGAGAGACCUAGUAUCAUUGAACCGUAAGUUACACAUCCCUUGCAAGGCAUGUCGUCGAAGCGCUAGAUUGUGUUUGUGGAUGAAGAAAACUAGUAGCACAAAAGAUUCAAAUGCAAGAACUCCCGAACAAAAACUCACUUGAUACCAUCAUCGACGCCGCCAUUUCCAAGAGUGGUCGAUAAUGAUGUGGAAGUGCUAGACAACAAUCCACAUGAAAUUACUGAGUCACGAGACCAAAAUAUGAUAUGCUCUCAUGUAUCGGCGGUUUAGGUUGCACUAGAUGUAAGAUAUAGCCAUAGGAUUUGCAACACCAUCACCAAGGCACACAAAUCUAAUAUAGUACAAAAUAAAACUGCACUUCAGAGUUGAUUCAUGGCUUACCGCCAUCACUAGGUGCCGCACGAGAGGCAGUCAGAGGGAAGAGGAACAAUCGAACAUGAGUGAAAAUGGAGGUUGUCUCCUCGGGUGGCUAGCUUAGCCUUAGUUUGAAGAUUUAUAUAACGGCUUGCCAGGGCCAUACAUGAAUGUAUGAGCACUUAACUGCAUUAAUUUGGAAGAAUAGGAUCUAGAAUCAAUGGUCAAGAUGAAAGGCAUCAAGUUUCAUAAAAUUCCGGCCACUUAGAGAUUAGAUGGGGGAACGCUGUUGCAGAUGCAGCACACGUUUAGGCCCAUGCUCGCUCUUGGGUCACUCCCAAGGGCAGCCCACCAUAAUUUAUUGGUAUUUCGCUAAAUACCCGUUAAUUUUGGCAAAGUGAUAAUAUAUAUUUUGUUGGCUAUCGUAAAUAGUAUAGUCGAGCCAUUAAUCAAAACAUGAAUAAUUGUGUAGAUGAGGUCUAUGGUUCUAUUCCUUCUCUCUAUAGUUUUCAUUUUGACGUCUUUAACCUAUAUUUCUAUAUUAUUCUGUUUAUAACCUUUCAUUCUUGUGUUGUUUUAUGUGUGUAUUGUACAUUGAUUGCCAUUUAUCUUAUUUCACUUCCAUGAUCAGUGAACACUAUUAUAUGUCAGUCAUAUUUUUGUUAUUUUCAUAGACUGCAAACAAAUGCUGAACUAUGUCUUUGUAAGAAAAACUCAUUUCCGACAAAAUGCGUAAUUAUUUUUUGCACAUUGCUACAGCAUUUAGCUGUAUAAAACUUAUUGAAAAUCUAGAAAUGUGUGUGUUGAUUUUUCGCCUAAGCGCUUCUUAUGUCAUGACGUCCAAACGCGUUCUUCGCUGAAGCUUUCCAUUUAGACGUCAGAUCGUCUUCGUUGUAUUUUUGAAUACUUGCGUCGUAUUCGGCCAAGCAUGUCCAAGGACGAGGCGUCCCGUGUUUGACUGACGCCCAACAAACAAAAAAAGCAUGGGCCAGGGACUCCCCGCCAAAAAAGAAGUUCAAAAAAAUGAGCCAGGGAGGGAGACGUGGCAGCAGGUGGCAUGGGAACGAAUGAAUGCUUGCUGCGCUGCAUGGGAACGGGGGUGGGGCAGCAAUACGCGGACGGGACGACGCUGCUUGCGGCUCGAAAUGGCGUAAAGAAAGACGGGGACGACGGGGCAUGCCGCUGGCGCCAUUGACGUGGUGGACGAGUCGCGAGCCCGCGAGGUUCCUUGCGCACCAGGCGUCCUGGGAUGUGCGUCUCGUACCCGGCCGCCGGCUGUACUUCUGCGUCGAUCGACCCCAUGCCGUGGCCGAGCGCGCAUAGUACAGCGAUCGGCCGCGCCUCGUCGGGCUCGAUCGGCCGCGUCCUGGCCGCAGGGCCUCGUCGGGCUCGAUCGGCCGCGUCCUGGCCGCAGGGCCUCGUCGGGCUCGAUCGGCCGCGGGGCAUGGGCACCUCUCUCUUUCCGGCAGGAAGGACGGGGAGGCGGGAGACUCGGCGCUUUGUGCUCCCGGCCGGAGAGAGGCCAUGACGAGGGGCCAGAGGAGGUUUGGGCGCCGGGCCACCGGACUAGCUAGCAUGAGGAUCUUUGGCUGUAUAACAGAAUUGUAUACGAGAGGAACUUAGAGAGACUUACACAGGAGCAAACAGCAGUAUGCCGGCGAUAACACUUCCGGCGACGUUGAUACCGGUGAGGGUGGACGACGCCGCGGACUGCAUGCUGCCCCCGGCGACCUUGCUCACGACGCGGACGGCGACCACCAUGGUGAACAUGGUGGAGACAAUCACCUAAACCAACUCAAGGGUAGCCUCGCUAAGGAAAGAGAGGAGGAAGAGAGGCCGGGUGUGGUCGAGUACGAGGCGACGAGUAUUUAUAUGUUGUCUGAUGAGUAGUAGCGCACGGGCCGGCGGGACCGUUGGAAGUUGUAUUUUAACACUACGUUGAACUUUCUUCAGUUGUCUUGUCGGAACUAAAGACGUCGCUUUGGCUUUCACCUAUCCCACAAUGCAUGCAAAUAAAAAUAAAAUUAGUCAUGUCAUCACAUUAAUUCAUAAAAACAUAAAUUAUCGGUAGGCUUUUGCUAAUCCUCAUCCAGUUGAUUCCGUGGAUCAGCGCUGUGGUCCCUGAUUUUAGGUAAUACCAAUGCCCUACAUUCAUUCUGUCUCAGAAUAAUUUUUGUUUUUUAAUUAUUAUGUCUUUUCUUUUUAGGAUAUUUUUUCGUCCUUAGAUUUUUCACUUCUAUUUUUGCAUGCAACGACAAAUUUCUUGCCGCGAUCGUGUAAACCUACUUAGUUUUUUAAUAGGAUUUUGAAUAGAAUUAUCUUUUGUAAUUCAUCUAAUUAAAUUAAAGUUAUAUCAGUAUAUGUUUGGUCUUGCAUAUUGAGAAAUAGUAAAAUUUCUAUGAAAUCAAUUACAAAUUUUUGUUAGUAUUAGUUUUAUCUUUAUUUUCUUUCUUCUUUUAGGUAAUACCAAUGCCCUACAUCCAUUCUAUCUCAAAAAUAAUAUAUUUUUUAAUUGUUAUUUCUUUUCUUUUUAGGAGUUUUUUUGGUCAUUAGAUUUUCACCUGUAUUUUUGCAUGAUCAAGGAUUUCCUCGGGGAUGUGAAAUUCAUCGAGUCCAAGGCUUAAACCUUACUCGGAUUCUGGAUAGUAAUCAGGAUCCUUAGGGUCGUCAUCGUCCCUGUUUGGCAUGGUGCCAUCAAUAGGACCGUUGUCGGCGUUGUCGCCUACGUUAUGAUCUCUAGCAUCACUUGGAGUGUCACCAUUGCCGGUGAAAUCCUCGAUCGUAGCGGCUAGGUGGGUGAUGUCUACUACACAACUUUAUCCUUGUAGACUCUGUUGGGCCUCCAAGCGCAGAGUUUUGUAUUAUAGCGGCAAAUUUCCCUCGAGUGGAUGACCUAAGGUUUAUCAGUCCAUGGGAUGUAUAGGAUGAAGAUGGUCUCUUUCAAACAACCCUGCAAUCAAAUACAUGCAUCUUGUGUCCCCAACACACGCAAUACAAUGGUAAAUUGUAUAUGUGCACUAGUUCGGUGAAGAGAUGGUGAUACAAGUGUAGUAUGAAUAAUAGAUAUAGGUUUAUGUAAUCUGAAAUAAUAAAAACAGCAAGGUAGCAAGUAAUAAAAGUAAGCACAAACGGUAUUGUAAAGCUUGAAAACAAGGCAUAGGGUUCAUACUUUCACUAGUCCAAUCUCUCAACAGUGCUAACAUAAUUGAAUCAUAUAACAAUCCCUCAACAUGCGACAAAGAAUCACUUCAAAGUUCUUAUCAAUAGCGGAGAACAUAAGAUGAAAUUGUUGUAGGUAGCUAACCACCUCAAAGUUAUCUUUCCGAUCAAUCUAUUAAGCCACCAAUAUAAGUGUCACAAACAGCCCUAGAGUUUGUACUACAAUAACACCAUAUGAUACGCAUCAAUCAACUCUAAUGUCACCUAGAUACUCCAAUGUCACCACAAGUAUCCAUGAGUCAAUUAUUUGAUAUGCAUCAAACAAUUUCAGAUUCAUAAUAUUUAAUCCAACACAAAGAACUUCAAAUAUUACCCCAAAGUUUCUAUAGGAUAAAGUAGGAUGAAAACCUAUGUGCCUAGAUUGCCCCAAUGUCACCUCGGGAAUCCACAAGUUGAUUACCAAAACAUACAUCAAGUGACUCAAUAGAAUACUCCAUUGUCACCACGGGUAUCCACAUGCAAGACAUACAUCAAGUGAUCUCAAAUCAAAAAUAUUCAAUCCAAUAACAAUGAAACCUCAAAGGGCAAGACUCAAUUCAUCACAACAGACAUGGAGAAGGAAGAACACCAUAUGAUCCGACUAUAUUAACAAAGCUUAUGGUAUAUCAAGAUCGUGCCAAAUCAAGAUCACGCGAGAGAGAUCAAACACAUAGCUACGGGUACAUACCCUCCGCUCCGAGGGUGAACUAAUCCCUCCUCAUCAUGGAGACCGUCGGGAUGAUGAAAAGGGCCUCCGGUGAUGGUUUCCCCCUCCGGAGAAGGCCUCUAGAUGAGAUCGAUUCGGAACAGAGGCUUGCGAAGGCGGCGUAAAAGAUCAAGGUUUCUUUCUGGGAGUUUCUGGAUUUACAAGAUUUUUCAGCAUGGAAUCACGCCAAUCGGACUUACGAGGGCCCCACAUGCUCGGACGGCACUCCUUACCCCCUAGGGCGUGCGGGGUGAGCUUGUGGCCUCCUCAUGGGUCUUGUGGUCCUUCAUCCAAGCUUUGGGGGGCUCUUAAAGUCACCGUAAAUUUUUAUCGGGUUUGGACCUCGUUUGGUAUGUUUUUCUCUGAAACAUAGAAAUAGACAAAAUAAACAGGUUGCACUAGGCACUAAGUUAAUAGGUUAGUUCAUAAAAAUCAUAGAAAAGUGCACCAAAACUAUAUACAACUCAUGUAAACAUGGCAUGAAUACUUUAUAAAUUAUAGAUACGUUGGAGACGUACCAGUGGGUGGAGGGUGGGUUUGAAAUCCCUACUUCUCAUGAUUUUUCCCAAAUCCGAUUGUAAACUGAGUUUCGAUCAUUCGAGAUUAACAAGUUUUGCAUCCGAUCCAAUAUCUCGUUCAAGAGAGCGAUGUCGGCCUCGCCCAUGUCCUGACGGUGGGCGGGGCUUAUCUGGAGUUUGCCUGAAGGAUAGCCUGAUGUGGCUUCAGGGGUUUUGGUGGUUGGAUUCGAGAUCCAAUCCGAAGAGUUUAUAAUCGGAUCCGCUCUCGGGGUCGGAGCCACGGAAAUCAUGAUCGGAGCUUCGCUCGAAGUCCGAUACGAUUGGAUAACGCUUGGGUUCGUGCUCAAGGCCAGGCCCGAGGUGUUGGCGCCUCUGUUACCCUGCUCUGAGGUUGAUUCGGCGCCGGGGCGGCGGCAUCGAUGACAUCACCGGCGUCGGCCUGGUCUGACACCCAGCCCGAAAAGACAAGCUCUCCACGGAUGUCCGUGAUGUACUCUAGAUUGAUAAAUUGUUUAGUCUGGCCUGAAAUGAGGUGCUCGACUUGGCCGAGGUGGCCAGUCGAGUCGUCGUGUAGCACGAAGCUGCCGAAAGCGAAAAGUUUGCCGGGAAAGAAGCCCUUCCCACAACCAAUAUCGUCGUUAAUCCGAACAUGUGCCAUCGAGUUCAUGUGACCGCGGGUGGAGCCUUGACCGAUACGUGGCUACCGUGGGUCUUCCCCGCGGGUGGAGCUUAUGUGUCAUACUCCGAGACCUUUCUUGAGUUUACUAAAGAGAACCCUACUUUCAUAGAUUGCGACGUUUAACAAUCAGACUCAUAUAGAUGCAUUUUUCAAAAGAUGUUCUGCAGGACAACAUCUCUGCUUCAAAGAGCCACUUAGAACACAUUAAGAUAUACAUCAACCUGCCAUGCAGAUUAGGAGAGUAUUGCAUCUUCAUGGAGUGGUAUUUUAACAGUAAGGGUACUCUCCUCUCAGUUGACCAACAGCUUGUCUUCCACAUCUAAUUCACGGGAUCUCUGAUCACAAAGAAUAGGUUACCACUGUGAACAACUCAUAUUGUGGGUCUCGUACCCAUCUCCCUCGAUGCAUUAUCUAUAACAUUAUGUGAUAGACCCUUAGUGAAAGGAUCUGCCAGAUUUUUAGACGUUUGGAUAUAAUCCAAUGCAAUAACUCCGGAGUUUCUCAUUUUCUGACAGACUUUAACCUUCUCUGAACGUGUCUUGAUGACUUCAUAUUAUCCUUUGAGCUGUUCACUUUCGUGAUCACAGUUUGAUUGUCGCAGUUCAUAAGAAUACCCGGUAUAGGUUUCUCAACAACCGGCAAGUCAUUCAAGAGCCGGCGAAGCCAAUCUGCUUCGACCGUAGUUGUAUCUAGUGUUGUGAGUUCUGCUUCCAUUGUUGACCUCGUUAAGAUGGUCUGCUUGCUAGACUUCCACGAAACAUCGCCACCUCCAUAAGUGAAUACAUAUCCGCUCAUGGCCUUUAUCUCAUCAACAUCUGAGAUCCAGUUUGAGUCACUAUACCCUUCAAGCACCUUUGGGUGCCCAGUGUAGUGAAUUCCAUAAUUCGCAGUGCCUUUCAAAUAACGCAAGACUCUCUCUAGAGCUUUCCAAUGCACAUCUCCUGGUUUUGAGACAAACCGGCUCAGUUUGCUAACAACAAAAGAGAUGUAAGGUCUUGUAGCACUGGCUAAGUACAUAAGCGAGCCAAUAAUCUGAGAAUAUUUCAAUUGGUCUCUAGCAAUUCUUCGAUUCUUUCGAAGCAACACACUAGCAUCAUAUGGUGUUGGAGAGGGCUUGCAGUCACUAUAGCCAAAGCGACUCAAGAUCUUUUCCACAUAAUGAGAUUGAAGCAAUGUAAUCCCACCAUCAUCGUCUCUCAACAACUUGAUGUUCAGAAUGACAUCAACCACUCCUAAAUCCUUCAUGUCAAAACAGCAAGAUAGGAAAUCCUUGACCUCCUUAAUAAUAUUCAGAUUUGUUCCGAAAAUCAGUAUGUCAUCAACAUACAAGCAAAGCAUAACUUCCUCGCCCCCGCCAUGGUGAUAGUACACACAUUUGUUAGCUUCGUUCACAACAAAUCCUGCAGCUAUUAAAGUUCUUUUGAACUUCUCAUGCCACUGUUUGGGUGCUUGCUUGAGUCCAUACAAAGACUUCAGCAACUUACACACUUUCCCUUCCUGGCCAUCUAUUACAAACCCAUCUGGUUGUUCCAUAUAAAUUUCCUCGUCCAACUCUCCAUUUAUGAAAGCAGUCUUAACAUCCAUUUAAUGAACGAGAAGACCAUGUGAGGCAGCUAGUGAAAGUAGAAUUCGAAUAGUGGUCAGUCGAGCCACGGGUGAAUAAGUAUCAAAGAAGUCUUCACCUUCCUUUUGAGUAUAACCCUUAGCCACGAGCCGAGCCUUGUACUUUGCAAUAGUACCAUCAGGCCUAAGCUUCUUCUUGAAUACCCAUUUGCAUCCUAUAGGUUUGCACCCAUAAGGACGAUCAGUUAUCUCCCAAGUUUCAUUCGCCAAGAUGGAAUCCAUCUCGCUACGAACUUCUUCCUUCCAGUAGUCAGCAUCUUCAGAUGCAUAGGCCUCUGAAAUAGAACUGGGAGUGUCAUCUAUGAGAUACACAAGAAAAUCAUCACCAAAGGACUUUGCAGUCCUCUAUCUCUUGCUCCUAGUAGGAACUUCCAUUGUUCUCCUCCACAGGACUUUCAAAGUGUUCCAUCGAAAUGGCAGGUUCAGUAAUUAUAACUGGUUCCUGAUUCGAUGAACUAGGCAUCUCGUGAUUAGAUGAGGUAGCCAUAUCCUUCAUGGGAAAUAUAUCUUCAAAGAAAGUCGCAUCAUUCGACUCCAUGAUCGUACCGACAUGCAUGUCAGGCACCUCAGAUUUUACAACCAAGAAUCUACAACCAAUGCUAUGAAAAUCAUAUCCCAGGAAAACACAAUCCACAGUUUUUGGUCCCAGCUCCCGCUUCUUUGGAAUUGGCACAUUGACUUUCGCCAAACAACCCCAUGUUCGUAGAUAAGAAAGCUUUAACAUUUUCUUCUCCCAUUCCUUGAAUGGAGUUAUCUCUUUGUUCUUUGUGGGAACUCGGUUUAGAACAUGACAUGCAGUCAAUAUCGUCUCCCCCCACCAUGCCUUGGAGAGACCCGAUGUGUCUAACAUGGCGUUAACCAAAUCAGUUAGAGUACGGUUCUUUCUUUCGGCCACCCCAUUUGACUGAGGUGAAUAGGGAGCCGUCCUCUCAUGGAUUAUACCAUGUUCCGCACAAAAGGAAUCAAAUUCAUUUGAGAAAUACUCUCCACCACGGUCGGACCUAAGCCUCUUGAUUUUCCGAUCAUGUUGGUUUUCCACUUCAGCUUUAUAGAUCUUGAAAAAGUUCAAAGCCUCAUCCUUAGAUUUCAGAAGAUACACAUGGCAGUAUCUAGUGGAGUCGUCAAUUAAAGUCAUGAAAUAUUUCUUUCCACCUUUUGUCAAAACAUCAUUCAUUUCACAUAGAUCUGAAUGUAUGAGUUCUAGUGGUGCAAGAUUUCUCGUUUCCGCAGUCACAUGAGACUUACGAGGUUGCUUAGCUUGCACACACACUUGACACUUAGAUCCCUUGACAGUGGUGAAACUAGGGAUUAAGUUUAACUUUGCUAACCGUGUCAUGCAACCAAAGUUAACAUGACAAAGACGUGAAUGCCACACAUUUGAUUCACUAUUGUUGCAAACAUGAUUAACAACUUUAUUGCAAACGUCUGGCAAGGAUAAACGAAACAGGCCUCCUGACUAAUAGCCUUUACCGACAAAGGUUCCAUACUUGGAUAUUACAAAUUUAUUCGACUCAAAGACAAGCUUGUAGUCAUCUCUACAUAGAAGAGAUCUGCUAACAAGAUUUUUAUUUACGGAGGGGACAUAAUGCACGUUCUUCAGCCGCACGAUCUUUCCCGAAGUAAACUUCAGAUCGACCGUGCCAACACCAUGAACAGAAGCACUUGAACCGUUUCCCAUCAACACGGUUGAAGUCCCUGUGGUCUGAUAAGACGAAAACAUGAAAGUAUCACCGCAUACAUGCACAUUAGCACCCGUGUCAAUCAACCAAUCAGGAGAAUGACAUACUGAAAGAAUAGUGGGAAAUAUACCAUACCCAGCAUCCUUCAUGUUAAUGUCUUCAAUGACAAUAUUAGUGGUCUUGCCACCUUUCCCAGGAUGACGCUUGUCAUAACGAUUAGGGCAACUUGGAGCCCAAUGAUCAGGAUGUCCACACACAUGACAAAAACCUUUCUUCUUGUCAUUCUUCUUCUUGAAGUUCGUGUGCUGCAUAGCCUUGUAUUUUCCAUCAAACUUUGUUUUACCAUCAAACUUGCCCUUGUUCUUGAACUUGUGGGGCUGGAAGUUCUUCUUCUGUACCAGAUUGGCACUAGAACCUUCCUCAAUACCUCGAGCACGGUUGUCCUUUGCUCUCUCCUUUUCUUCCACAUCAAGAGUACCAAUGAGAUCCGAAACGGAAAACUCCUGCCUCUUAUGCUUCAGUGAGGUAGCAAAGUUCCUCCACGUGGGAGGAAGCUUAGUGAUGAUACCUCCAGCAAUAAACUUGUCCGGUAGGAUACAAUUGAAGUGCUCAAAUUCUCUAGCAAAUGACUGUAUCUCAUGAGCUUGCUCAACCACGGAGCGCUCUUCAGUCAUUCUGUAGUCAUAGAAUUGCUCCAUAAUGUACAACUCAGUGCCAGCAUCCGAGACCCCAAACUUGGCCUCGAGUGCGUCCCACAUAUCUUUUUCAUUAUCAAUUGAUGCAUAAGCAUCAACUAUGUUCUCACCAUAAACAAGGUAUCCAUUUUCUGAAAAGCUUGUGCCUCUCUUAUCCAGUAUCCACUAUCCUCCCACUUCACUGGCUGACCCACGCACUCCUUGCCUCCAUUUCCUCCCCAAAUCCGGCCGCCGCCUUUCCGUCACUAGCGACCGAGCCGCCACACCAGCGUACGUGCCGCUGUCCCCGCACCAGCGAAGAAGCCACCGUCCCCGCAUUAGCGACCGAGCCGCCGCCCCGCCUCCUCCCCAGCUCCUACAGGGCGUCGCCGCGGGCUCGACGAGGAGAUGUAGAACCAAGCUCGAGCGCCGCGACUACGGUGGAGCCGACCAGCAAGGCUGGGUUUCGGGGAAUGGGGGAGGAGGCAGAGGAAGCCACUGGGAUAUGGUCCAACCGAAGCCCGCGACCCAAGCACCUCAAUGGGAGCUCGUGGUGGCAGCGGCGAAGAGGAGGCGCGGUGGAGGAGCUGCGGGUGCUUAUGGUGACCUCCGGUAAGGGACGUCGCGCACGGUGGUGGUCGAUGCCGUGGCUGCACGAGCGUCUCCGGGCGGCGCCUUGGGCAGCAGGCUCCAGCGUCGUGGGCGGAGGAGUUGCAGAACUCGAUUUCGUAGCACCAUGCGCGGGUGAACGCGUUCCGCCUCACCGUGGACGGCGGGCUCUAGCGCCGGCCAAGGAUAGCAACACGUCGUUGUCGAGGUAGCUUUGUCUCUGUAGAACAUCCUGUUUUGAAUGCAGAAUCACUGCCGCUGCCAUGAACAAACUCGUGCUCCUGGACUUGAUGCAUCAAGUCCUGUGUUUUUGUCUGAAUUUUUAUAUGUGCUCUGACGUUAGGGAUUAUGGGAUAUUUUACUCAGCAAGUUGUAGGCAGAUUUAUGCAUUGCUAUCUAUCUUUAGGCUCUAUGGACGUGCUUUUCAUGUUGUUGCCUGAAAGUUUCACCAAAUUCCAUUACAUAGCAUUGGUGACAGAUUGAUAUACGUGAGCCUCAUAAUGCUCCCGUUGACAACCCAAGACCCAAGUGACUAAAGCUUUGCUUGUUUCAUGGCGCAAGCUGGGGUAUAGUGUCAUUAUGUCUAGUAGUUCUUAUUUAGAAACGAGAGUUUCUCAAACAUGUGUACCAGUAGUACUACCCAGGUCAUGUUGCCUGUAAAUGAUCUGGUGCUGUUUCUUUACAGAGUAUAUGUGGUCUGACUGUGGUCAGAGAUCAUGGCAAUUGUUAUACUUUAUCGAUGGCAAUUCUUUAACUUAUAUUUCUGUUUUAACAAAACGCCAUGGCAAUUUUUAAUAUGCAUAUGAUAUGUCAUUUUUGUUCACAAUUUGUAGCCAUGACCCUCAUGGCAAGUUUCAUCUUUGUCCUUGUUCAUAAACAAUGGCAAUUACUCUAUAUGACAACAUUCAUGUGAUUUGACAUGGCACUUUUUUUUCUAAAAACAUGGCAAACUUGCCAUGACAACUUUUCCAAACAUGAUAAACUUAUAGAUGUUCAAAAACAUGACAGCUUAACAUGUUCAAAAACAUAGCAAACUUGCCAUGGCAAACCUAAGAUUUUUUUUAGCAAAUGUGUUAACGGGGCAUGGCAAAAAUGCUUCCAUUCACAGCCAAAAGUGGGAUUUUUCUACGUUUUUCUAGCCAUGGCAACUUUACUUUUAAUGACAUGGAAAAUUGUACUUCAUUUUUUAAAUGGAAAUUUAUUGUAUAGAGCAUGGCAAAUUUUAAUUUUAAAUACGAUAGCAAAUUUUACAUUUCCAGAACAUGACAAAUUUUAAAAUGUAGCAUGGCAAAUAUACUUAUGUAGCCAUGGCAAUUUUUAAUUUAUUUUCCAUGGCAAAAUUAUUCUAUUUUUUCCAUGGCAAUUUUAACUUUCUAGAAUGCCAACAAAAUAGAUUUAUUGCCAUGGAAAUUUCGAGCUUCAUUUUGCCAUGCAUUUUUUUUGCCAUGUUUAAUUUUCCUUUACAUCUCCAUGGCAAAAAAAAACCUAACAUUCAUGGCAAAUUUUUACUUUAUUUGCCAUGUCAAAUUUACCAUUUUUUUGUGCCAAAAUAAAGGAAAUUCAUGGAGCAUGGCAAAUUUAGCUUUCUACUUUGCCAUGUCAACUUUUACUUUAUUUUCGCCAUGGCAAUUUUGUACCUUCAAUGCCAUGGCAAUUUUACGUUUAAAUACUUGGCAAAUUUAAUAUUUUGCAUACAUGGAAAAUUUUACUCUAUUAUUCCCAUGUCAGAAUUUUACUUUAUUUUUCCAUGGCAAAAUUUUAAUUUUGUUGCCAUGGCAACUUUACUUUUAAAUACAUGGCAAUUUCAGUUGAAUGUACAUGACAAUUUUUACUAUACUUUGCCAUGUCAAAUUUUUAUGUUACUUUUUUUGCCAUUGUAAAAUUUUGCUUUCAUUGCCAUGGCAAUUUUAUCUUUAAAUACUUGCAAAUUUACUAUUUACAUACAUGGGAAAUUUUACUCAAUUUUUGUCAUGUUAGAAUUUUACUUUAAUUUGCUAUGGCAUAAUUUGAACUUCAUUGACAUGGCAACUUCACUUUUAAAUAAAUGGCAAUUUCACUUGAACAUACAUGCCAUUUUGUAAUCCACUUUGUCGUGUCAAAGUAAAAAUUGGAAGUACAACUUUUACUCUACUUCGGCAAAUUUGCCUUGUCUCAACUUUUUGCCAUGGCAAUUUUUUACUCUACUUUGCGUUGUGUCAACUUUACUUGUCUGGACAAUGUGCAAAACCUUGUUGAAAAAAAACCUUUUUUUCUAAAAAAACCUUAAUUACAAGUAAAAAAAUUAUUCUAGGUUUUCCAUGAUACAUAUAACCGUUUCCACAAAAGUGUGCCAUGGCCCAUGGCAUACUACCAUGGCAAUUUUCUCCUGUGUAUAUUUGUGUUUCAAAUUUUUUUUCCAUGGCAAAGUUAUGUUAUAUUCUAUGGCAAGUUGAUCUAGUUUUACUAUGGUUUAAUUUUAAUUUUUUGUCAUGGCAAUUUCUCCAUGUUUUUACAUUUUCUGGCUGUAUGUAAUUAAAACACCAUGGCAAUUUUUCCUGUAUAAAGUUUUCUUCGUAAAUUCCAUACAAAGCAUGGCAAUUUUAAUUAAAACAUCAUGGCAAAUAUAUUUUUUAAGCAUGGCAAAUUUGUAUUGUUUUUGUACCUUGCGGUUCUUUAUUCUCGGCAACAAAAUUUUUGAAAUUUUUUCGACCUUCGAAAACUUUGAAUUGUUUUCAUCGAACUUUUUGUUCUAAGACUCACACUAACUGGUUCUUUAUAUUCUCACAUAGCAGGAAUUUUGAUGUUUUUAUUAUAAAAGAAAUGACAAUUUUUUUGUUUUUUAAGAUCUGUUUUUUAGGCCCUUUUACUUACGUCAUGGUGAUGGAAGGGGCCGAAAGGGUUCGGGCUAGCGUUCCACCACACCGAGCGACAAAAUCGUUCGUAUCGUUCCUCCAUGCCGAAACUUUCCGUCCGAUCUGGGCUCUGCUAGACCAAACAAUCGUGCGUUAUGCCAUGGCAAGUUUUACUAUUUAUUUUGCAUUGGCAAAUUCUAAAUCAUUAUGAUGAUAUAUGUAAAUUUAGUUUAAAAUACCAUGAAUUUGUUUGCUAUGAAUCUGCCAUGGCAAAUUAUUUUGCAGUUUUUGUUCAAAUAUAUUAUUUUUUACCCAUGGCAAUUUUCUCCAUUUGAAAGUUGAUGCAUUUUUGUACUUAACAAAGCAAAAAAACUGGGAUUUUUUUGUCAUAACAAAAAAACUGGGCUUUUUCUUCUUUUUUUUCUACUAGGCUUUUUGUUAUCAAUUCUGGGUUGUUAGGGGUUGGGGAGGCCUUCUCGUUGGAGGGCUUCUCCUCCCGAACGAAAUCGUUCCGGGAGGAUGAGGCAUCGUACUGAAUGAUACGUUCGGUCUGGAUUGUCUCCGGACCGAACGAUCGGGAGUUAUCGAGGUCCAUUAUUAAACCCAGUCAGAUACAAGUAGCACCCCACGAAGAUAGAAAAAUACAACGAAGUCCCUAAGGAACUACAAAACCGCUGGAUCUGCCGGAAUGAGUCGAGGACGCGCCGCCGUUGUCGCCGCUCUGCUUGUUCGCUGGCGAAUAUCCAUGGCAGACGGGGAGUCUCCGUACUUAAACCGCGGUACAGUUGCAGUGCUCCGAGGCCGAGUAGGGGCUGCCAUGGCCAGCAGCAGUGAGGUGUGAGCCGCAAGUGAGGUCGAGCCGGGUACGAGUCGAAGCGGGAGAAGUGUGGGUAGGCGGCUUUUAGUAUUUGAUUGCCGCUUCGAUUAGCCCGAGGCCGAAGGCAAGGCCAAACACUAAACAAGAUGAAGCUCGAGACGAUGCGGCUCAUGCGCAAGUUUUCUUAGAAGUUCACGAACAAUUUUUGACUUCUGUGAAACAUUUCUAAAAGGAUCAUAAACAUUGUUUUGAAUUCAUGAACAAAACUUUCAAUUCUUGAAUACUAGUUGAAUGCAUGAACUUUUUUUCCAAGCAUUUUUUAUGAAAGCGUGAAUAUUUUUUGAAUAUGCGAACAAUUUUUAAAAAUUGAUGAAUAUUUUUUAAUACUUAUAUAUAGUAAUGGAAAGGAAGAAAUAAGGGCGGAAAAGAACCCCCAGGGAUCAAAUCCAGGUUCCUACGGUGCGGGCUAGUUCAUCUAGCCACUGCACGACGCUCGUGUUCACCUUAUAAAGGAAUACGCGAACUACUUGAUGGAGAACACCGAGGGUUUUCUGUUUUUUCCUCUUUUUUGCUUUUUGUUGGUUUUUUAUUUAUUCCCUGGUUUUCUCUUUUUUUGUCUUUUUUCCUUUCUCCGGGCUUUUUCAUUUCUUCAAAAUUUUCAAUUUUUUGUUUCUAUUAUAUAUUUUUUCAUUUUCACUAUACAUUUCGUAUAUGUCAAAACAUGUUUUUACUAAGUGACCAACAUUUUUUGUAUACACGUUCAACAUUUUCCGAAUGCUUAUAAAAUAUUUCUCAAAUACUUGUUUAACAUUUUAAACCUAUUCAAUUUUUUAAUACUUAGUCAACAAUUUUAAAAUAAUCAUUCAUUUUCCAAAUGAUCGUUCAACAUUUUUUAAUACUUAUUCAACAUUUUUAGAAUACUUGUUUAACAUUUUUUAAUACUUAUUCAACAUUUUUAGAAUACUUUUUAAACAUUUUUAAUACUUAUUUAAAAAAGUUAAAUACUUAGUCAACAUUUUUCAAAUACUUGUUCAACAUUUCUUUAAUACUUAUUGAACAUUUUUCAAAUAAUUGUUCUAUUUUUUUAAUGAUUUUUAAAGGUUUUUAAUAUAUAUGUAGAAUAUUCUAAAACAUAAAUAAAUGUACAAAAUAAAUAAAGAAACAAGAAUUGAAAACAGUAAACAAAAAAAACAGGCCAUUGGCUCCCGCGCGGCUGGGCCGGCUCAUCUGGGCUCCCACCGAUGCGAGGCGUCCCCAUGUGCUCGCUUAAAGCGAGAAAUAUGGGUGCCCCUCGGAGCUCCUAAGUGGCGCCUUCAGCGCCACUUGGAGGAAAGGGUGCUCAGACGCCCCUAUUUGUGGGCUAGCCCAUCUGAGGCGGGCGCUUCAUCGGUUCCCCUGCUCGAUCGCUUCAACAACUCCCCUCCCUCCUGAUGGCUCGAGGCCACAAAGUUGUGGACCAGCCCCUGAAAAAAAGUCAUGUUCGACCAUUGGUCAACCGUUGACUUUUUAAAAAUAUGGUCUAUUUUUUUAGUAAAAAUUAAUUAAUUCUAAAAAAUUAAUGUAUUUUGCAAUCUUUUAACAAACUUCGAAAAAGUGCAUUGAAUUUUAAAAAAUGUUCAUUGAACUUGAAAAAAAGUUCAUCGAAUUUCUAAAAAGUCCAUCGUUUUUAAAGUCCAUCAAAUUUGAAGAAUAGUUCAUCAAUUUUGAAAAAAAAAGUUCAUCAAUUUCGAAAAAAGUUCAUUGAAUUUGAACAAAGUUCAUCAGUUUUUUUAAACUUUAUCAGAUAUGCAAAAAGUUCAUCGAUUUUGAAAUCGGUGUAUUGUUCUCAACUGAAUCGAAAAGAACGACAUGCUCUAGAUGAUGUGACGCGUACUAAAUCCUCACAACAUUAACAUCAGUUGUGGAAUGCCAUUUGAAAGCUCAAUUGUAUCCCAAAGGUUAGAUUGUUUCGGUGCGAGUUAUUCGAGGAAUAAUUCCUGGUGAGUUAACCUUGAGGCGGCGCCACAUCAAAGACGUGAGCCGGUUGAGGGAGUCCUGAAUUAGGGGGUCCUCGGGCUGCUGGCCUAACUCUUAUGGGCCGGACAGUUGGGCCACACCGCAGUUGCUGGAAGACCGGACUACUGUACAACUUCGUAUCCUGACAUGAGGCUUUUUGGUGCCUUGGUGUGUCCUCCAAGUCAAGAUGGAAAGAAUCGGCAUGUUUGUCCUCCCCUUGUAACCGACCAUGUGUAACAUUAGUACCCCUGGUGUCUAUAUAAAUCUGAGGGGUUUAGUCCAUAGAGGCAGAACAACAACCAUCAACCUACCAGUUUAGGAUUUAGACAUUUAGUUCAUCUGAUUUUGUGGUAGAUCGACUCUGUAAUCCUCAUAUACACAAGCAAUAUAAUCAAGCAAGACAUAGGGUUUUACCUCUUCGAGAGGGCCCGAACCUGGGUAAACAUCGUGUCCCUAGUCCCCUGUUCCCCAUCGAUCCAAGAUGCACAGCUUGAGACCCCCUACCCGAGAUCCGCCAGUUUUGACAGCGACGUUGCUGGUUUCAUUGAGAGUUCCACAUUUGGAUUGUUGAAGGAUCGAUGGCUCGCCUCAUCGUUGGAGAAGGAAUCAACACCGGGGACAUCUUCGUCCUCAGUCAGCUUUUCGCGUUCGGCAGCAUCAUUUUGCACGCCAACACAGCCAACCAUCUUGACCGAGUAGAUAACUUUGCCCCGGAGUGUCAGAUCAGGUUCGGCAUCCUAGAGUACGUCGCUGACACUCGGGGCAAUUUGAUAUUCACCGGUCUCUCUGCUUUGCCCGAGACGCUCGAAGUCCCGGAAGCAUCGGCUUUGGGACCAUUUUCCAAUCCGAUCGCAAGAUCGUCCCUUACCUCGCACUCCGCUCCGAGCCCGGAUGCGACCUUUGUGUUCGAAGACUAGGAGUCAACCCUGGCCGGACUAUUCUCCCCACUCCGGAUCCAGCUUUGAGUUGUGAUGUAUCUUCGACGCACAAAGACUGGGGGCCGGUCCCGCGGGUCAACACCGAAUAUUCGAGGAGUAUGGACCCUAUAGAUCUUUCAUCAUUAAACAGUCUGCUAGACCGGAUUCGCACCAUGGGAAUCUCCAACGGCCAGACCGCGGUUUAUGACCAGAUCGGGCUCAAGCCCGAUAACAGGGAAAUUUUCACCCCACCUAUCACGCACCUUGUCGCCACCAUUGAGGAAUUGACUGAAGGCUCGCAGUCGCCAAAACUGAAAAUGAACUAUGUUCCGAUUGGCAACGACCUCGCUCAGGCUUCAAGCCAGGAAUAUGACUUUCGCCCCGAAGAAAGCUCAGGACUAGACCUCGAUUCGAAACGUGAUCUCAAAUCUGCGCCGCAUUGCCUGAACAGUUCAGAAUCUGCACUCGGCGCACCGGAUAUACCAGAGACGCCCAACACCGCCGCUAAAAUUCUGGAUAAGCCACCAUCCGAGGCGUGCAGCUUUUUCCCAGCCACCCUCCAUGUGGAAUAUUCCGUGGACUCAGAAAUCCUGAAGUAUGGGAUUUAAUGUACAUUAAGCAGCUGCCCGAAGAAACAGUCCAUCAUUACUGGGCUAGAUUCCUCCUGGUUAAAAACAAAAUGAUGGAUUGUUAUGGCCAAGAAACAAUAGCAGCCUUUCGGGUCAAUUGCCGGGACAAAGGAGUCUUGAACGCCCUCGCCCGUCGCCAUGUGCGAAGCUUUACCGAAUUAUCGGACCUGGUACGCAAAUAUUGCGCCAUGGGAAGCACCUAGAAGGCACAACAAAUGCGUAUGGAAUUAACCUAUGCCGACAAAUCUCGAAAAGCUCAGGCAAAACGCUCAUACGCACUGCGGUCGCCCGAACCUGAGCCCAACGAAAAGAAGAAUAGGUCCCUUGCCGGACCCCCACUAUUAGGAAAAAACCUAGUAGUAGCGCGGGUGCCCGCGCUAUGCGCUACUACUAACUAUCUGUAGCGCGUGUCUGUGACCCGCGCUACUACUAUUAAUUUCAAAAACCAAAAAAAAUCUCGACCCCGUGCGUGCUGUCAAUGGUGUCAAUGGUUCGAUCCAGCGACGACAAGGGUCGCCGGAGGUCCGGACGGGCAGCGGAGACCAGAUCCAGCGACGGCUGUUGUAGAGGGACCUGAUCCAAUGCAGAGGAGAGCAAGACGACGGUGUGAGGGUCCUCUUCACGGGCAAGGCAGAGAGCUCCCCGUUAGCCAUGUCGACGACCUGCGCAAGCAUGGGCAUGAGAGGUGAGUAAAAUCGGAGGGACAUGGAGAGGGAAAAGGAGAACCAAGGAAGAAAUGAAUGAGAUGGAGGGCGCACCGGUGCUUGUCGCCGGUGGUGAGGUGGUCCGACGUGGUGGCAUGGAGAUGCGGGGAUGACUGGCGAGCUCUGGGACGCUGGCGGCACGAGGUGGCCUCACUCUUUUGGCGCAUUGAGGAGGAGGCACGCGACCUGAGGAGGUGAACUCGUUGGGCGCCAUGGAGGAGGAGGUGUGCAUCACCAUGGGAGAGCCUAUGGAGAGAGAGGAGGAGAGUGAGGGAGUGUCGGUGUCAAAAUCGGAAGAUCUCGGGUAGGGGGUCCCGAACUGUGCGUCUAAGGCUAAUGGUAACAUGAGGCGGGGGACACGAUGUUUACCCAGGUUCGGGCCCUCUCUAUGGAGGUAAUACACUACUUCCUGCUUGAUUGAUCUUGAUGAUAUGAGUAUUACAAGAGUUGAUCUACCACGAGAUUUUAGAGGCUAACCCUAGAAGCUAGCCUAUGAUUAUGAUUGUUGUUCUUGUCCUACGGACUAAACCCUCUGGUUUAUAUAGAAACCGCAGGGGGCUAGGGUUACACAGAGUCGGUUACAGAGAAGGGAAUCUACAUAUCCGAAUUACCAAGCUUGCCUUCCACGCAAAGGAGAGUCCCACCCGGACACGGGACGAAGUCUUCAAUCUUGUAUCUUCAUAGUCCAACAGUCCGGCAUAAGCAUAUAGUCCGGCUGUCCGAGGACCCCCUAAUCCAGGAAUCCCUCAGUAGCCCCUGAACCAGGCUUCAAUGACGAUGAGUCCGGCGUGCAGAUUGUCUUCGGCAUUGCAAGGUGGGUUCCUUCUCCGAAUACUCCAAAGUAGAUCUUGAACACAAGAAUCGUAUCCGGCUCUGCAAAACAAAUUCCACAUACCACCAUGGAGAGUACAAUAUUCCACGAGUCUAAUAUGUUGAUAGCUUUUCCAUAGCGUGACAUCACGCCAUGGCCCGGUCAUUAUUCGAACCAUUUUUUCAACCUGCUACUACACAUUUUGCGAGGCAGUUUUAUUGGCACGUCUUGUCGAAGCAGAGAUCGUGUCCCCUUAUCACGGGAUUCUCAUCAAUAUGGGUGUGGGUAACCCAACCGUUCCAUUAGUAUGACUCCUUGGAUUAGGCAAGUUCCAAACGGCCACGCGGAGGACGCUUGAUAUUCAUCUCCUUUAUAAAGAGGUCAAGACAUGUCUCUUUCUUUCCACGCUUGAUCCUUCCCUUCCCCCACCUUGAGUUCCAAUCACUAGUAGAAAAAGGGUCAAUUGUCCCGGUUCGUAAGGGCCUUUUGUCCCGGUUUAGGAACCGGGACUAAAAGGUCGUUACUAAUGCCCUUGACCUUUAGUCCCGGUUCUUACACAAACCGGGACAGAUGGGCCUCCACGUGGCCGGUGCAGCGAGCCCAGGCAGGAGGCCCUUUGGUCCCGGUUGGUGGAACCAACUGGGGCCAAUAGGCAUCCACGCGUCUGCAUUUCAGGUGCUGGGAUUUUUGUUUUUUUUUGAAGGGGAGGUUAGGGGGUUUUGGGGGGGUUAAUUUAGGUGUUUCUUAUAUUGUGUUAGCUAGCUAAUUAAUAGAGAGAAGUGUCCUUUCUUAUCUCCGUGCUUGGUCGACGCUACGUACUAUACGUAUAGAGAGGACUAGACACGCUAGCUAGUAAGCAAAUGAAGGAAACAAAAGAUCGUCAUGAACAUAUGCAUACAAAGAGAAGUGAUAUCGACCACCUCUCCUUCUCCGAGAGAUUGGUCGAACAACAAGUUCUCGUAUAUCUAUCCGAUGCUACUGGCUACAUAUAUACAAUAUAAUUAUCUCUUACAACAUAAUCUCCUAAUUAAAAACCAACUGAUUAGGGUCCACAUGGUAUUCUCCGUCUUUAGCGAUCACGUGAUCAAGAAAGAAUGCCGCCAAUUCCUCUUGAAUUCCUCGCAUACGAUCUGGUGGUAGCAGUUCAUCCCGCAUCUGAAAUAUCUAAUUUGAAGAAAGGGGUCAAUACAUAUAUAUAUGAAUAAAUGAAACUGAGCACGUAUGAUGGUAAUAAAAUAAAAUUGUGAAUAUUAUUAUUUACGCACUUCAUAUUGUUUGUCAGAGUAGCCCCGCUCAUAGGUCGUGUGGCGGAUGGACUCGCAAAUGUAGUAUCCACAAUAAGUAUUCCCUUGUUCCUGCCACAACCACUUUACAAGAAAUAGAGAUCAAUUAAACUGAUAAUUAGCAAGCAUGCUAAAUGGUAUUGAUGAAACUAGCGCUUGAAUCACUAGGAGAUGCGUGGAACAUGCUACUAUACUACUUACUUUCGGGUGUCUAAAUUGCAGCUUCUUCGGCAGUCCCGGAGUUUUUGAGGUGAAUUUUUUCCAAACCCUGCCAGACAUAUAAAACAAUUACUUGAUAUCAGGAAAUGAACAAAUUGAAGUCGCCGAUAUGGUGGGAUAAUGAUUGAUUUAACUUACUUCUCUAGAAUUUCAGUCAUGUCCGCAUACUCCUGGGAUCUUUUUGUAGGGUAACGCAGCAGAAAACAAAAAAUUUCCAACCUAAGCACCAGCCCAGGACCACUAUGAAGACUGCAUACAUGGUUUGAUCUUUUUCGUUACCGACUCGUAGCGCAGUGGGAAGUAGAGUCGAUGACGAUCGGCGGUGCAGAUCCCCGCAGCUAGAAUUUACAACCUCCCAACCACGAGGGUGUAUACCCUCAUCUGCUCCUCAGACAGCCCUCCGGGAGGCGGUCGAACAGCCCCCCGGACCGUGUCGCGGACAGCCCUUCGGGAGGACCUUCGAAACUCGAACGGUCACACGGACAGACCUUUGGGAGGCACUCACGAACUAAGACCGAAACUACGAUCUCUCUACAGAGUUGCACACAUACGGUGUCAUCUAUCCGGCAGGGCUUCGCCGUCCAGAACUAGUUCCUGCCGGAACCCAGACAGCGUUUCGGCUCUACGAAACUAUUUCGCUGGGAGGGAGAGAAGAAGCCAGAUCAUUGCAUGGCACUUGUAUGAGAGCAAAGGGAUGAGUGUGGAGGGCUUCCCUCCACCUCUAUUUAUAGGAAAUCCCAAGGGGUAGGGUAGUUUAACACAAAAACCCAAAAUGCACAUGAAUGAAGUCCUUCCUCAAGGGCAUAAGAGUGAAACCGAGGAACAAGAGGGGCUCCAAGGUGGAGCCCCCAGUGUGGCCGGCCACACCCCUUGGGGCCCCCCAUGAGGGCCUCCCAAUCCAUCUAUGUCAUCCCUAGAUCUUUUGAGUAAAGCCCCAAAAGGUGGCUUUCCAUAAAAUAUCCCAAAAAUCACUUUCACUAUUCAUGACAACAUUUUUCAGCGUCCGUUCGAACUAAAAAUAUUUAUGUGAGCUUAGAACAUUUCCAAUACCCACCAUAAUAAUUUUCAACGUGUUCUGGAACAAUUCCAUUUUAGUGAUUUUCAUCUGCGAAACGCAUCUGAAGUGGCUUUGGCAGCUCCGGAACAUUUCCGGUUUUUAUCUCAGAAAAUUCCAAAAAGCUUCCAGAAUGAUUCUGGCACCCUCCAAGAAUUAUCAGGCAUGUGCCGAAACCAAUUUGACUUAAUGGUAUAUCCCGAAACAACUUUUCGGUAUGAUCGAAACUUAUCCGAUGACCUCUCUCUGCGGUACGAUUCCGCUGUCCGAAACUUUUUUUCGGUGAUUUUCUCACAGACUCCCUGUCUAGUAUUCAGCAGAUAGAUGACCCUUAAGUGUGUGACACUAUAGGUUCGGUGAAGUAUAGACAUGACCCGGAACCCCUUCCGAUCAAUGAUCAACAUCGGAGCCGUGGACACCUAUAUUGACCCCUAUACCCACACGAAUGAAUAUUUGAGUGAACCUCCGGUUGCCGUGUGCUAUUCUUUUUGAUUCGCGAGAUGUUACAAAGACCCGAGGUGAGAUUUACUUGCAUCCCCGUGGAUCAACAACUUGUCCACUAUGCUAGUUACCUCGUUACUGAUUUUGUUCUAUUUUCUCGUUUCCGUGUUCCGGCAUCCCUGUGAUAAAAUCACACUAUGUCUGGCCAGACGAUGAUGGAUACCGUAACACCGAGAGGGCCCGAGAAUAUCUCUCCAUUGUCGGAGGAGCAAAUCCCAAUCUUGAGCUAUCAAGUUACUUGACACACUUUUCCAUGAACCCGUAAGCCGCCGUAAUAGCCACCCAUUUACGGAUGACGUUUAACAAACCCCAAAGUUCAUGAAGCAAGCAUGAAGAAACUCGAUACUCUCAUGGUCUAAGGAAUCAUACAAACAUUAACCAUCUCUGUGUUAUUUACCAUUAACUUGUGACGAAUGAAUCUCAUAGCAUAACAUCAAACCGGGUCGAUUCAACACAAAUAUUCUCUUAACAUUGUGCUCUCAAAGUUGCUGGCAUAGACAUGCCCAUGAUCAGGAAAACGGAACCAUCAUGCAACACUUGAGCUAGUCUUAGAGGCCAAACUAGGGAUACUUCUUACCGUUUAUUAUUCCACACGUGCAUAUGAGUCUUCCUUCGAGCCUCGUGGAUAUUGCCGACUCAAGAAUCAUUGCAGUUAUAGCAUGGAACAUAAACAUAAUUAUGAACUUGCAAAUAAAUAAUAUCAUUUAUUAUUGCCUCUAGGGUAUAUCUCCUACACUUUUCGUCUCGAGUCUAAGACGGUUACUAGUCCCUGCUCAAGCUUAAUCUCUAGGAGAAUAUAGUGGAAGCUGCGCACGCAUGCAUAACUCAUCAAUUACAUUACUAUAACCUCGAGUAAUAAGAGAAACCGAAUAUGCACAAGACAAUAACAUUCACUGGAAUUCGUAAGGGAAGAGUAUUAUAGCUUUGUUUUGAUUUAAUACAAAUGAUUGUAGCAGCUUGGCCUCGGUAUCUUUGGCCUGAAAUUCAACCAUAUAUGCAUCUAUGAGAUUUGUGUUAAUGAACCCAAUAUCACCGAUUUGUCUUUUCUUCAAUUUGGCGAUCUUUAAUGAAGAUAAUAUAGUGAGGAUAAUUAAAAAUAUAUGCAAUGAAAGAGCUGACCUAUAUAAAGAGACUUAAUGACAGAAGUAGUACUACUUACAGGCAGUAGCAAGUGAUCAUUAAUUUAUCGAGGGCCUUUAGAUUGAAAAACGCGAAGAACUCCUCAAAUGGAACAUUCAACAGUUCAAUUCCAACAAGGUCAUGCUCCUCUCUAACUCUCAGCGUCAAAAUAUUCCUCCCUUCAGACUCUUUGCAGGUUUUCAUGUACCAAUCAUGGAAUCUUCACAUCAUCGUUGUUAGAGAUAUUUCAUCUUUGACGAGAGGCUUCCCGUACACAUAUUUGUGUUCGUCCACCUCCAAGAAAUCAUAAUGUACAUCGUCGGGCAGGUAAUCUUCAAGAUUGUUAUAACCGGGCACCAUCCCGCCCGAAUGAUUAGCGACGAUAUCGCUAGACACCUCAAGCGGGGGGAACGAUUGGUUCGCUUGUUCACCGAGCUGGGCAACUUUUUUCCCAGCUCGUCGUUCUGCUAACCUUUGACCACUGACAGUACUUCCCGACCGCUCCGCUUCGAUAAAUGAAUUUUUAAGAAUGCGUUCAUAGUUGCCUUUCACCGGAGAAUUUGGUGGUUUCUUCAGGGCAGCCAGAGUACGCUUUGCUUUUACCGGAUCUAUCUUCCCCUCCGGAGGUGGAUGUUUCUUUGCUUUCACCCCUUCAAAGAAGUUGUUCACUUCGGCUUGCACGAUCUUCGUGUUUUCCUCCUGGUUCCUCUCGUAUGGUAACUUCUCUGGAGUCUUUAGAGAAGGACUGAAUCUGUAUUGCCUACCUAUGGCUGUACUGCUAGACGCCGGAGCAAACGAGCGGCUGUGGCUGUCUUUCCUUUCUUACAGGCGGAGGAGAAGGACGACGCGCCGGAGCGGCGGUGGGUCUCUUCUGCCCUUGUUGACAAGGCGGAGAAGGAGGAGGCUGACUGCUCGGGCGCGCCGGCGCAGGUGGAGAAGGAGGCAGAGUGCCGCCAUGCACCGGAGAAGGAGGUUGAGUGCCCUGAUCACUCGCCAGAGGAGGAGGCGUAGUGCCCUGACUCGCUAGAGGAGGAGGAGGAGGCGGAGGCGUCCAGUUCGAAAGGUUGAUGAGCUCCUUCCGCCAUAGGCAUGGAGUCUUCAUAGAAGAACCCAGCCGAAUCUCCCCUUCACCCGUAGGGUGGUCAAGCUGAAGGUCCUCAAAUCCGUCCGUUAUUUGAUCCACCAUCACCCUAGCAUAUCCUUCUGGAAUCGAUCGACCGUGCUAGGUUGUGCCAGGUUCAGUAGGUAAAAAAGAGCCAAUAGCCUCCUUGACUUUCAAUGUCAUCCACCGCGUCAUAAGGUGGCAAUGUUGAGACUCCGUGAUAGCAUCCAUGGGGUAGCUAGCAGGAGCCGUGAAGACAGGCUCCAGCUGCUGAGUCUGCUCGGUGGAAGCCACGCUGCUUCUUCGCUGAGAUGGCGGGGUAGCUUCAGGGGAAGCUUUGGCAGGUCGUUUGCUGCGAUCUGCUUCUUGUUCCUCUAGCCCUUGUACCCUUUCGUGCAGUGCAUGCAGUUGGCUAUGCUCCACUUUCUUCCUCCUCUCCUAGCAUUUGUAACCCCCUGCGUCCGGAAACCCAACCUUCCACGGAACGGAGCCUGGCGUGCCUCGUGAACGUCCAAGGUGCUCAGGAUUCCCGAGGGCCAUUGUGAGCUCGUCCUUCUCUCUGUCUGGAACGAACGUCCCUUGCUACGCUUUCUUGAUAUACUCCUGAAGCCUCGUGACGGGUAUUCGCAGUUGCUCUUCCGUCCAAACGCACUUCCCUGAUACAGGGUCCAAGGUUCCGCCAACCCCGAAGAACCAAGUCCGGCAACGGUCUGGCCAGUUCAAUGUCUCUGGUUUGACCCCUUUAGCAAUCAGGUCAUUCUCAGCCUUGUCCCACAAAGGUCGGGCUUUGAGGUAGCCACCUGACCCCGUGCGAUGGCGAUGCUUCUUCUUUGCAGCAUUUUUCUUGUUUAUCGUUGACAUCUUCUUACUCUUUUUCGAUGUCUUGUGGGCCACAAAUGUGGGCCAGUGAUCUCUGUUCCUCUCAAACCGGCCGGUGAAUUCUGGUGUAAUUUCUUUGUCGACAUACGUUUUCAGCUCAUUCUACCACCUCCUGAAUAGUUCUGCCAUCUUCUUAAGAGCAUGAGACUUGAUCAAUUGCUCUAUAACUGGCUUCUCCGGAUCCUCCUCUGGCGGUAGGGUGAAAUUUGCCUUAAGCAUUGUCCAAAGAUCUUCUUUCUGCAUAUCAGAGACAUAAGACACCUCAGGGUCUUCAUUCUUAGGCUUUAACCAUUGCUGGAUACUGAUCGGGAUCUUGUCCCUAACAAGAACCCCGCACUGAUUAGCAAAUGCUUCCUUUGUCCGGUAUGGUUCAAUCGGCUUGCCAUCGCGCAUGAUUGCUGUGAUCUCAAACCUUUCGUCCGAGCGCAACUUUUUCUUCGGGCCUCAUCUCUUUACCGUAGUUGUGCUCGAUUCGGAGGGCUAGAAAAAAGAAGAAAGACGAGAGUUAAUUAAUAUGUGUACAUACGAAAACAAUGAAUGCAUCAAUUAGCUAGUCAGCACAGGAUUAACUAAUAUAUAUACCUGGCCGGACUCGGUUCGGUCACCGGAGCCGUCAUCACGGUCUCCUUCUUGUACCGGCAUUGGGUCACCGGAGCCAUCAUAAUCAUAGUCUUCUUCUUGUACCGGCAUUAAUGGGUCAUCAGAGCCAUCAUAAUCAUAGCCUUCUUCUUCACUACCCUGUCCUUCCAGACCAUCAGUGCCGUUGAGAAACGAUGCAACGACAUCACUUCCUUUUGUGAUUAUGUCCCCCAACAUCGCUUCUGUUGCUUCGUCUCAGGGGUGCUCCAUAGUUUCUGCAAAUAUUUACAACAUGGCAAUUAUUAUUCAAACAUGGCAGAUGGAUAUAUUAGUGGCAAACAUAGAACCAGCUAGCUAAUCACAAUAAGGAAUCAUAUUAGUGGCCUCGACGCUGCUUCUCUAGGGUUUGGGGUGGCCUCGGCAACGCUUCAAGGGUUUGGGGUGGCCUCGACAACGCUUCAAGGGUUUGGGGUGGCCUCGACAACAACGCUCUUUUAACUUGGUAAAUUUGGGUGGCCUCGAGAGAGUUUGUCGGGUAGGGGCACGGUGGGAGGGGGUAGGAGACCAACAUCGUUUUUUUCCAGGGUUUGGGUGUCCUCNNNNNNNNNNNNNNNNNNNNNNNNNNNNNNNNNNNNNNNNNNNNNNNNNNNNNNNNNNNNNNNNNNNNNNNNNNNNNNNNNNNNNNNNNNNNNNNNNNNNNNNNNNNNNNNNNNNNNNNNNNNNNNNNNNNNNNNNNNNNNNNNNNNNNNNNNNNNNNNNNNNNNNNNNNNNNNNNNNNNNNNNNNNNNNNNNNNNNNNNNNNNNNNNNNNNNNNNNNNNNNNNNNNNNNNNNNNNNNNNNNNNNNNNNNNNNNNNNNNNNNNNNNNNNNNNNNNNNNNNNNNNNNNNNNNNNNNNNNNNNNNNNNNNNNNNNNNNNNNNNNNNNNNNNNNNNNNNNNNNNNNNNNNNNNNNNNNNNNNNNNNNNNNNNNNNNNNNNNNNNNNNNNNNNNNNNNNNNNNNNNNNNNNNNNNNNNNNNNNNNNNNNNNNNNNNNNNNNNNNNNNNNNNNNNNNNNNNNNNNNNNNNNNNNNNNNNNNNNNNNNNNNNNNNNNNNNNNNNNNNNNNNNNNNNNNNNNNNNNNNNNNNNNNNNNNNNNNNNNNNNNNNNNNNNNNNNNNNNNNNNNNNNNNNNNNNNNNNNNNNNNNNNNNNNNNNNNNNNNNNNNNNNNNNNNNNNNNNNNNNNNNNNNNNNNNNNNNNNNNNNNNNNNNNNNNNNNNNNNNNNNNNNNNNNNNNNNNNNNNNNNNNNNNNNNNNNNNNNNNNNNNNNNNNNNNNNNNNNNNNNNNNNNNNNNNNNNNNNNNNNNNNNNNNNNNNNNNNNNNNNNNNNNNNNNNNNNNNNNNNNNNNNNNNNNNNNNNNNNNNNNNNNNNNNNNNNNNNNNNNNNNNNNNNNNNNNNNNNNNNNNNNNNNNNNNNNNNNNNNNNNNNNNNNNNNNNNNNNNNNNNNNNNNNNNNNNNNNNNNNNNNNNNNNNNNNNNNNNNNNNNNNNNNNNNNNNNNNNNNNNNNNNNNNNNNNNNNNNNNNNNNNNNNNNNNNNCACCAACCAGAACCAAAGGCCACUGUGCUGCCCGCGUAGCGGCCAAAGUUUAGUCCCACCUUACUAGCUGAAGAGGGGUCGCACCUGUUUUUAAGCGCAACUCUGCCCACCCAUUUGAACUCCUCACUAUUGCAGGCCUGUUGGGCUAAACUUGUGUCUCUGCCUGUGGGCCUGCUGGGCCGUCCGCGGGCCUAAAUCCUGGCCCAAUAGGGUUUCUAGUCGUAUUCAGGCCGUGGUGGCCUAAUAGGUGGCAAUUUUUUUUAUUUUUUCCCAGUUUUUUGUUUUCUUUUUUGCUUUAUUUAUUUUGUUUUAUUUUAUUUUAUUUGUUUUGUUUAUAAUUACGUAUUUUUUUAUGAUAAUUAUUUUUUCUACUCCGUCCGUCUAGGUGAGUAAGUCAUCUUAGGUUGUGCACCGUGACCAAGGAGGAGGAGAAAACGAGAGAACUUAAUGUUCAUUUGCUAAUUAAUAGCAUUGCAUGCAAUGAACUAACCACUGCAUGUCGUGUUUGGUAGUCUCAUGUCAUUAAAAGUAUGCACACCCCACAUCUCUUAUUGGUUGAUAUGUCAAGAAAUAAGAAACAAGGUAGAAUUUAAUGCACCGCGCCUUAGUGUUUUGGGAUUAUUUGGUUUUCGUAAGAUGACUUACACACCUAGACGGAGGGAGUAUUAAAGUUUCUAACAAAAAAGUUCUUUAUGAAAAUUAUUUUUGCUUUUCAUGAUUUUGAACAAAAAAUACUUUGAUAAUUUUAGUUUCAUAAUUUAUUUAUGUUAUUAAAGUUUAUUGUAUUUUAUUUUGUUUUGUUUCUGCUUAUAUAUUUUUAUUAUAGUUUAUAUUAUUUUGUUUCAAAUUACUUAUUUAUUUUAUUUUAUGAUAAUUAUUUUUGAUAUUAUAGUUUUUCUGUGUUCAAAAUGCACCAUUCAAAGCCACAUCAUCAAUUUACAACCUUUUCUGACUUCAUUUGUUAUUUUUCAUGCAUUUACUGAUUAUUUUGAGCUAUAAGACCAUGAAAUUGAAAAGCAUUUGAAAUAAACUCUGAAAAGUUUCCAAGUUGGCAUGGGAUCAUUAUUUCACCCACAUAGCAUGUGCGAGAAAGUAGAGAGGGUUACGGCAAAAACUGGAUGCACUUCGUGUACAAAACGGACAAUCUCUUUCGAAGUAUCAGGGUUUCAUACGGAAACUCAUCUGUUACAAAGGGAUUUCAUUUUUUUGAACUUAUUUGAACUCCGUAGUUUUUCUGUGUUCAAAAUGCACCAUUCAAAGCCACAUCAUCAAUUUACAACCUUUAUAGUGCAUUGUAUCAUAUAUAUUAGUAUCAUAGGUGGUCUCAUUUAUUGCCAUGCAUGACACAUAGUAGCAUCACAUUUAUUAUGUUACGGUAUCUACUUAUGUUACUAUAAUCAUCUCUCUCUUCUUUAAUUGCCUGCCACGUAAGCAUGUUUGCGAGUCCCAAGCACAUGAUACUACUUAUGUUACCCCCACUAUGGCUAGCCUUAAUCACCGUGUGGGGAUCGAGGCACACGACCCAUGUUCGCACAUCAUGGUGAUUGUCGGGUCCAUGUUGCUAUGUGGGCCCAUGGACGGGACCAGUCUGGCUUGUCGGAACCAGACUGGAUAAUCAUCACCGAAGUGCACGGGAAAUCUUCACGCCAACAGGUCGGCUGCACGGAAAACAUUUUUGACGUGCAACUCGGCCGAAUUCCUUCAACCUUUUUCAAGACCAAGGUGGUUCAUGUCACUUAUCAGGAGACAUUUUCAAUGAACCAGUUUGAAGACCGAGGACCGAAGACGACAUGCAGUUUGGAUGGACUGAGGUGCAACCAGACUUGAAGAGCGGUUCAGGAGCUACUCAUGGUGGCAUGGCUUUUUUUUUUAGCAUCGGUGGCAUGGCUAAGGGACCUCUCACCACGUGGAGUCCCGACAUGGUGAACUGGGCUGAGUACCCCUUGUUGGUUCUGUCUUGGACCACUUUCGGCGGCCCAUAAUGUAGAAAUAGGAAGAUUCUAGAAGACUUAUUGUACAAGACAGGACGCUUGAUUCGUGGAGGAAACGUCAUCCUCGUGCGUAGGGAUUAUAGUGAGACCGACAUAUGGGUCCCAUUUUCUUAACCUGCCACUUAACUGUGGUGUUGAUUUUUUGUGCCACGCGGACCUGACAACUGGGUCUAAGGUGUCAUAAAGCCGACGAAAAUUUAAGCAGCCGGUCAUUGUAGUUUUUCGGAACGAAAAGUCAAAAGGAUGUUAGGUAUUUGCAAAAACAUGAAUCAUUUUAUGCUAUUUACUCUUUUUUUUUCUUAGCCAAGCUAUUUACUCGUGUUGCUCGGUUGAUAUGGUUAAUACGGAACGAGUACUUGGGCUUCCUAACGACGAUAGCGAAGCCCCAGCGAUUACGAUCUGAAAAUCAUAGGUACCUACUACGUAGAGUUUCUGUGUAGGAGUACAUGCCAAUAAAAAGGAAGCAAUUGUACAAACCAACUACAGUACUCGGUUCGGUUCGGCUGCUCGGUUCGGGAAACCGAAUGCCCAGGUCUCCUUUUAUUAGCCUGGUCACGACAGCUCCACAUGCAUUCUCUACUUGAAUAUAUGAGUGGGGGUCAUCAAAGUCUACACGUGACACGUCUCGUUGUUCUGCCUGUAACUUUCGUCCGUUCCUGCCAUCCAGAAAGCCUCCAUGGUCUUCGUUUCCGAAUGGAUCUGGCUCUGGGUUGGUGACCGAAGAGUAGACGACGCCGUUGACCUCCUUUCAUCUUUCUGCAUGCGGGUUAGUAGUGUUCUAUAUACGCAAUCUUUGCUUAAUUACUUGCUCUUUCUGCCUACAAUGGCCCAGAUUUCUAGCUAUAAUGCAUGUGGUUGCCGUGAAUUCUCUUUUGGAAAAUAAGAAAAAACAUUACCAGCUUCCUGUUGAUGAGAAGACGAUCGAAUGCACUCUUCGUCUUUGUUGGAAGAUAUUCUCUUUGUCGAGUGGAAGAAGAGGAAGGUUCCCCUGUCUGUACUUCUCAAUUUAGUGCUAUAGACCACCGUUGUUACCUAGAAGCUGGAUCAUGGCCGUCCUUUUAAGCCCCGUCCUUCUCCACAUAGAAAUCAUCCUUCCACGUUGAAGUACAGCCUCUACGUUGAAGUGAGCAAUUGCAAUUGAAAGAAGGAAAAUAAAACCUGUAAAGGGGUGAUUUUAUAACAGUCAAAAGUAAAACAAAAAUAGAACGAUCUACUAUACUGAGCUGACCCUUGCACGAGCUUGCCACCAUCGCUCAUGUGUACUGCUUUUCUUUUCUGUUCUUUUUACGGACGAAAUCGCUUAUGUGUAUUCAACGGGAGGUCACACCAGAAUGUGUAAAUCUGACCCCCUGUAUGUCCACGAAUGUGUCCACGGAUACGAGCAGACCGCUCACCAUGCAUUUGUCCACGUCCACAGUCGUCCCUUCAUAUCUGAACAUCUAAAUUCACAUACAAGCAUGGAACAUCGACCAACACACAUAAAUUUUAUACUUCAUACUAGAAAUAUCAAACUAGGACGUAGCAUAGGGAGUUUUAUAAUACAUUACUAUCGGACUAUCAUAAUUUGACAUGUUCUACUAAUUCAAAAGACUACAAAGGUAGUUCAACCACAACCGCCCGUGCCAUUGCCUUCGCCUCUGUCCUCAAUUUAUUCCCAAAGGGUGUGGAUGGGCAACGGCAUAUCUGGCUCCACCCGUGGAUCUACCUUCUAAGAUGGUGAGCUUGUCUCAAAAAAAAAAAAAGCUAAGACGGUGAGCUGUCCUAAUAAAAAGCUAAGAUGGCAUUUCUAAAAGGCGAGCGCUCGCCGGCCAAAAGAUUCGGCCGGUUUGUUUUAAACCUUUAGAUUAGAGCGCUGAUGGCCGUUAGAUAGCCACCCGAUCUGAUCGCUAUAUAAGACGCGACUUCGUCUAUUCUACGUGUCAACGGCCAUGGGCGCUCGCACCCCGUCUCUGAACUACGCGCCUAUGUCCAUGUGCGUAUCUCCGGCGAGGGCAACGGCCGCCGGCCGCUCACACCUAGUCGCCUCGCAGCAUUGCCCUCCGUUUCUCGCCAAAGAAACCUUCUCUGCUCGUCGAUUUCGGUUGCAGCUUUCCCGUCAAAACCGGAUGCAAUUUCCCCGGCAGUCCGGAUGCCAUCGACGCUCAUGGUUGCAGCAUCCCCGUGCGCCACUCGUCGCCCUCGCCGCACAGGGUUCUGCAAACAACGGCCACCAGUCAACCAUGAAUGGAUGGAUGUAGCAAAUGUUUCACCAGUUGUAGCAAAAACGUCACGGCCGCCGCCGCGGGUCGCAGCUCCGCCGUGGAUGGAUGUAGCAAAAAGUUUGCUGGUCGUAGCAAAAACCAAAGGCGGUUGCAACAAAGACAUCACCGCCUCCGGCGCGGGUUGUAGCUCCGCCUUGGAUGGACGUAGCAAAAAGUUCCGUUGAUCAUAGCAAAAACCAAUAGUGGUUGCAGCUUUGUGAUCUGUGGUUGCAGCAAAAAAUGCCAUGACCCUGAUGGUCGCCAUGCCUACCGUCGAACAAAGAACAAAAGCCCGUUCCAGCAAACGACGUGCCUGGUUGCAGCAAAACACCACGCUUGCGACAACGAUUCCAGGAAACGUGGUUGCCGGUUCCAGCAAUUCUUGACGCCGGUUCAAGCAAAUCUCGAUGCUGGUUCCCGACAGAUCACGAGUUCACGACAAUCAACUCAUCGUAUCUCCCGGACAAGCUGGUUCCAUCGGCCGCACCAUCGUAAAGCAUGGCCAUGCCCGCUUUCCAAGCACCGCGGUGGCCGGUUGCAGCAUUCACCAGGCUGAUGUGUGUUGUUCGUGGAGUGGGUUGGCUCCGGUUGAGCGACUGGUUUGCCGGCGUGGAGCCAUGGGAAGGCAGGACGCGUGUGCGUGUUUGUGUGGAGUCGGAGAACAAGAGGAUAAGAAAAGAGAUGCGAGCCAGACGAAAGGACCAUGGAGGAUUUAGGAAGAACGGGGAAGGAUAACGCAGCCGUGCUGGGUCCACAAAAGACGUGGCUGGAACACGAAAGUGGAGUCAUGGUGCGUGCUUCUUGCGCCGUAGAAUCGUAUGUGGAUCCAACGCGCAGCGCGAGAAGUUUCGUCCGGCGUUUCCCUUUCUAAUUUUUUUAAAAGAGAUGGCUCCACACCAAGUCAAAUCAACUUUGGUUGCCUAUGAAUAAUGUUUUCGCUUGCAAACAAGGGGUACCCACUCUGUCUCUCUCUCUCUCUUUUCUCCUACGGAACGGUGAUCUGUUCGAGAAAAAAUCUAAGAUGGCGAUGGCUCCACACCAAGUCAGGUCAAAAAAA